GUUAGUGAGAACUGACAUGUUGGACAAAAUUGACCUCAAGCAAAGAUGAUGUUUGCAAUUUGCCCAACAGAGUUCUUUUAGCUUCAUUUUUUGAGUUUCUAUCUGUUUACUUGUUAAAUCAUCUAUUUCUCUCGUCCUUUUUGCACGUCUUUUAACAAUACCAUUAUCUGUUUACUUGUUAAAUCAUCUAUUUCUCUCGUCCUUUUUGCACGUCUUUUAACAAUACCAUUAGGCGCUACAAGAUGCACUGAAUAGUUUGGAAGGAGUGACAUGCAAUAGAGCAGAAGGGGCUAUGUAUCUCUUUCCGCGUAUUAACUUACCCGACAAAGCAAUAAAAGCAGCAGAAGAAGCUAAAACUGCACCAGACGCUUUCUAUGCUAAACUUCUUCUUAAUGCCACAGGAAUCGUUGUUGUUCCAGGCUCUGGAUUCCGCCAGGUAAUACUUACAUUUAUAGCUCUCGCGUAAAUGUAAUUGUCGCCUACCCAUUUCAACAAAUUUAAAUCACUCUUUCACUUAUAUAGAAAAAUAUUGUUGGAGAAGAAGUAGGCAUUUUUAAUUAUCUCUUACACGUUAGUCUCUCUAUCAGCACUAUGGUUCUUGCUUUGGUGUAGGUUCCUGGAACCUGGCAUUUUAGGUGCACAAUAUUACCACAAGAAGAGAAGAUACCAGCUAUCGUAUCUCGUCUUACAGAAUUCCAUAAAAAGUUCAUGGAUGAAUUCUGCGGCUAAGGAAUCAGACAGUACGGAGUCUGAUAAUAGGGAAUUUUGAAUAAGCAGUGCCAGUUGACUCCUGUCUGCAACUGUUUUGUCUGCCUACUUCUAUAGUCGAACAGUAAGGACUCUAAUGGUUCCAAAUUUUGGGGUUUGUUCCUCAUUUUCUGGUUGGGAUUGAUGCUUUAGUUCAUUCUGUUAAUUUAUCCCAGCUUCAGACAUUCAGUGGAUAUAUAAAUAUGAUUUGUGCAACACAGGGUGCAUGUAUAUGCAAAGAAGCAUUUGUUUCUCAGACAUCACUACUUCACUUUCUACACUACUUAGAUUAUGUAUUUGUUUCUACGCAUAUCUAUAAUCUAUCUAUCUAUAUAAUAUAUUAAAAGUGUGAAACCCCUUAGAAAAGUGAUUCGAACUUUUUAACCUUCAUUAAAAUACUCUGCAAUAGACAAAAUCAUCUUUUUGCCCGUUUUCAAUAAUUAAUUAACUAUUUUUAUAAUAUUUAGAAUUAAAGAGUCUAAAAUAUAUGUUAAGAGAAGUUAUAUGGCAAGAGAUAUUAGGAGAAUUAAUAAUUAAGGAAUGGUAAGUUAUAUGGUAAUUUGAAAUCAAUUAAAUAUUUUUUAUUUAGUCCUUUGAUUUUGGACAUUGCACAAUUGACUUUUUAAAUCAUUACAUUAUUAUUGAAAAUAAGUUAAAAAAAAUAAACAAAAGAGGAAAUUAAGGACAAAGAGACAAGAGAGUUUUUUUUUUCUUUUUUUCAUUAUGGUAUGAAUUGCAGUGAAAAAUUCCUUAUAUUUAAUAAAUAAUGAAGUUUUAUGUUUUCAUUAUCAGUUUUUCUAAUAUAUAGUUGAAGAUAUAAAUAGGUAACUAUUUCUUAUCCAAGUAUUACAAUUUUUUUUUAUAUAAUCUGAAAAUUUACAUGGCAUGAACACUACAUAUUUUUAGUGAAAUUAUGUAUUGGGUAUUGAUGAGUGGAAGGAGAAUAUUCUUUCUUCUAUUUAAGAUAAUAAUAUUAGAUAGGAAAUAUUUUUUGAAGUAAAAAAAAGUAAGUGGAUAUUUAUUUUUUUUCUCAAAAGUGCUCAUUUUUAAAAAAUAAAGUAUUUGGCCAAGCUUUGCAAGAAAAUAAAUGUUUGGAGGGUAUAAAAGAUAAUUUUUCAUUUGCUAAAAAUGUAGUUUCUCCUUAAAAGCUCUUAUUUGAAAAGCAUUUCUGAUCAAAAUACAUUUAAAAAUACUUUUCAAAGGCUUGAUCAAACACUAAUUGUUGUUCGAAAGUGUCAAAUACAAACUGUUUCUUAUUAAAAGUACUUUUUUGAAAAACACUUUUCAAAAUAAGCUAAUUUUAAAAGUUUGAUCACGGACUAAAGAGGAUGAAUACUUUCUUCUAUUUUUUUUUUUUUCAGUUUGAUAUAAAUAAUAAUUGAUAUUGUAAUAUUAAUACACGAUGGAGAACAACUUUAUUAGCUAAAUGAUAGAACAAAUUAGGACAACACGUUUAGCCGACAAGGAAGGAACUUGUGGGAUACACAAGAUUAUAUGGUACCUCAUAAAAUAAAAUAAAUUUUAUCACAAGUAUAAGUUAUGUAUCUCACGUUCCUUUAUAAUACACCUUUAAUCCCAAGGAUUUUACUUAUUUUUAAUAAUAAUUUAUACUUAUUACUAUUAUAACAUACUCAUAAUAAUUUUUUAUUUUUAUACAAAAUAUUCAUAAUUAACGUUAUACACACGUACAAAACACGUGGACUUGAUCGGCAACGAGCGUAAUUAGUGAUUCCGUGACAGAGUGGCCACUGAAAUUUGCAGUAGAUCCAGAGCACAACUUUUUAAAUCGAAACAUUUGGGCAUGAACGUUUUGUCCUUUUGGUCUAAUUCAAAUUUCAGUUGCCGUUUUGACAUUUUUGAUUCAAAAAGUUGCCCUUUAAUUAGGCAUUGGACUCAAUUAACCUUACCCAUGUACAAUUCAUUAAUGUUUCUCCAUUAAUCUUAAUGGUGCGCCAUCUUUCUCAUAUGUGACUUGAAGGUAAGGGUAUCAAGUGGGCCGGGUCGGAACUAACCCGAUCCAGUAAGCUUUAGGAUUUUAGGAUUUCGGGUUCCGAAUCGGUUAUUUUUUUAAAAUGGCCCCAGCUAACCCGGCCCGGAUCAAGCCCGGUCUAGGCCCACCGGUUAACCGACCCGGCUCGAAUACCUUUGUUUUAAAAAAAAAUAAAAAAAUUGAGAUUUUGGGCCAAACUAGCCAUUGGCCCAAUGACUAUAUAGCCCUUUUUGGGUCCAAACGGCUAGUUUGGGCCCAUUUAUUACAAAAAAAAAUUACCUUUAAAAAAUAUUUUUUAAUCCCCAAAAAAAUUCUAUAAAUACCCUACAACUUCAAAUCAUUUUUCACACAAUUUUCACUCUCUCAAAUCUCAUUCUCUCUCAAAUCUCAAUUCUCAAUUCUCAAAUAUUCAAUGUAUUUAAUUUCUUAAAGUGUUCACUUUAAUUUUUUAAUUUUUUGUUUACAAAGUACGAGCGGAAGUUUCUAAAGUCACAACCUUCGGAUACUUCCAAAAUUUGGUAUUGUCGUUCCAUUUCUUACGUUUAGUUUUUAUUUAUUGUAUUAAUUGUUUAAUAUUUAAUUUUAUUNNNNNNNNNNNNNNNNNNNNNNNNNNNNNNNNNNNNNNNNNNNNNNNNNNNNNNNNNNNNNNNNNNNNNNNNNNNNNNNNNNNNNNNNNNNNNNNNNNNNNNNNNNNNNNNNNNNNNNNNNNNNNNNNNNNNNNNNNNNNNNNNNNNNNNNNNNNNNNNNNNNNNNNNNNNNNNNNNNNNNNNNNNNNNNNNNNNNNNNNNNNNNNNNNNNNNNNNNNNNNNNNNNNNNNNNNNNNNNNNNNNNNNNNNNNNNNNNNNNNNNNNNNNNNNNNNNNNNNNNNNNNNNNNNNNNNNNNNNNNNNNNNNNNNNNNNNNNNNNNNNNNNNNNNNNNNNNNNNNNNNNNNNNNNNNNNNNNNNNNNNNNNNNNNNNNNNNNNNNNNNNNNNNNNNNNNNNNNNNNNNNNNNNNNNNNNNNNNNNNNNNNNNNNNNNNNNNNNNNNNNNNNNNNNNNNNNNNNNNNNNNNNNNNNNNNNNNNNNNNNNNNNNNNNNNNNNNNNNNNNNNNNNNNNNNNNNNNNNNNNNNNNNNNNNNNNNNNNNNNNNNNNNNNNNNNNNNNNNNNNNNNNNNNNNNNNNNNNNNNNNNNNNNNNNNNNNNNNNNNNNNNNNNNNNNNNNNNNNNNNNNNNNNNNNNNNNNNNNNNNNNNNNNNNNNNNNNNNNNNNNNNNNNNNNNNNNNNNNNNNNNNNNNNNNNNNNNNNNNNNNNNNNNNNNNNNNNNNNNNNNNNNNNNNNNNNNNNNNNNNNNNNNNNNNNNNACUAAAGUGGCACAUAUUAUUAUAUUUCAUGCAUGGAUUUAGCAUAGCACCAACCAAGUAAAUAGGAGGAAUUGGGAAAAAAUAUUUUUUAAAUUUCGUAAACAUGGCGCCAACAGCUUCUUUAUAAUCUUCUUUAUUUUUAUAUUCUUUGAGCAAACCAGAAAUAUCGGCUAUAUAUGCCAAAAUAUUACAAACAGUAGGAUAAUAAGCACCGAAAAAUUCAACCGUAGCUACAUAAAAUUUUUCUAAAAACUUAACAAGAUUAUUAAUUACAACCCAAUCAGAAUUAUGUAGCAUGCAAUCAGCAGAAUCAGCAAAUGAACCGCAAUGUUGGUUAAAAGCUAGUGUAAUAGGAAUUCUAUAUUUAUAACAAGUUUUUAAAAAUUCAUACGUAGAAUUCCAUCUAGUAUCAAUUUCCUCAGGCAUCAAAAUCGGUGUAAGUCCAUUUUCUUGACAUUUAACUUUAAAUUCUCUAAUUCUCGAUCUACGAUUAUUUCCUUGAAUAAAACCAACAGCAAGGAAAUAAUCGUAGAUUGAGAAUUAGAGAAUUUAAAGUUAAAUGUCAAGAAAAUGGACUUACACCGAUUUUGAUGCCUGAGGAAAUUGAUACUAGAUGGAAUUCUACGUAUGAAUUUUUAAAAACUUGUUAUAAAUAUAGAAUUCCUAUUACACUAGCUUUUAACCAACAUUGCGGUUCAUUUGCUGAUUCUGCUGAUUGCAUGCUACAUAAUUCUGAUUGGGUUGUAAUUAAUGAUCUUGUUAAGUUUUUAGAAAAAUUUUAUGUAGCUACGGUUGAAUUUUUCGAUGCUUAUUAUCCUACUGUUUGUAAUAUUUUGGCAUAUAUAGCCGAUAUUUCUGGUUUGUGCAAAGAAUAUAAAAAUAAAGAAGGUUAUAAAGAAGCUGUUUGCGCCAUGUUUACGAAAUUUAAAAAAUAUUUUUUUUCCGAUUCCCCCAAUUUACUUGAUUGGUGCUAUGCUAAAUCCGUGCAUGAAAUAUAAUAAUAUGUGCCACUUUAGUACUCUUAUUUAUACUAACUUAGAAAUAAAUACUAACCAUGAUUCUGAACAAGUACAACCUGAUUUGUGGACGGCUACGGCUGAUGCAAAGGAUUACAUAGAAAAAUUAUAUAAUCACUAUGCUAAUUUAUUUGAUUUAGCCGUACCUACAAAUAUCACUCCAACUGUCGCUCCUCAUCCUCCCGAGGAGCCAUCAUCNNNNNNNNNNNNNNNNNNNNNNNNNNNNNNNNNNNNNNNNNNNNNNNNNNNNNNNNNNNNNNNNNNNNNNNNNNNNNNNNNNNNNNNNNNNNNNNNNNNNNNNNNNNNNNNNNNNNNNNNNNNNNNNNNNNNNNNNNNNNNNNNNNNNNNNNNNNNNNNNNNNNNNNNNNNNNNNNNNNNNNNNNNNNNNNNNNNNNNNNNNNNNNNNNNNNNNNNNNNNNNNNNNNNNNNNNNNNNNNNNNNNNNNNNNNNNNNNNNNNNNNNNNNNNNNNNNNNNNNNNNNNNNNNNNNNNNNNNNNNNNNNNNNNNNNNNNNNNNNNNNNNNNNNNNNNNNNNNNNNNNNNNNNNNNNNNNNNNNNNNNNNNNNNNNNNNNNNNNNNNNNNNNNNNNNNNNNNNNNNNNNNNNNNNNNNNNNNNNNNNNNNNNNNNNNNNNNNNNNNNNNNNNNNNNNNNNNNNNNNNNNNNNNNNNNNNNNNNNNNNNNNNNNNNNNNNNNNNNNNNNNNNNNNNNNNNNNNNNNNNNNNNNNNNNNNNNNNNNNNNNNNNNNNNNNNNNNNNNNNNNNNNNNNNNNNNNNNNNNNNNNNNNNNNNNNNNNNNNNNNNNNNNNNNNNNNNNNNNNNNNNNNNNNNNNNNNNNNNNNNNNNNNNNNNNNNNNNNNNNNNNNNNNNNNNNNNNNNNNNNNNNNNNNNNNNNNNNNNNNNNNNNNNNNNNNNNNNNNNNNNNNNNNNNNNNNNNNNNNNNNNNNNNNNNNNNNNNNNNNNNNNNNNNNNNNNNNNNNNNNNNNNNNNNNNNNNNNNNNNNNNNNNNNNNNNNNNNNNNNNNNNNNNNNNNNNNNNNNNNNNNNNNNNNNNNNNNNNNNNNNNNNNNNNNNNNNNNNNNNNNNNNNNNNNNNNNNNNNNNNNNNNNNNNNNNNNNNNNNNNNNNNNNNNNNNNNNNNNNNNNNNNNNNNNNNNNNNNNNNNNNNNNNNNNNNNNNNNNNNNNNNNNNNNNNNNNNNNNNNNNNNNNNNNNNNNNNNNNNNNNNNNNNNNNNNNNNNUAUUUUAAAUUCUAAUGUAGUAUAUACUAUAUAUAUAUAGUGUAUAUAUAUUAUUUAACGUAUUUAUAAUGUAUAUAGGUGGGGUAUAUGUAAUGUAUAUUGAAAGAAAGUUUUUUUUCUUAUAUUUUUGACCGGGUUUGACCGAUUUUUUAACCGGGUUUGAUCGGUUUUUGGUGGGUUUGACCGGGUUGGGUUAAGUGGGCCGGGUUAGGGUGCGUUUUAUUUUUUUUACUAUUUGGCCCGGCCCGUCUAGCGCCAAAACCGACCUUUAAUCGACCCUCAACCCGGUUAAAAUAGAAGGGCUGAUUCUGGAUUGGCUCGGCCCGGCCCGUUUGACACCCAUACUUAUCUAGGAGUAGCAUAUCAAUUGUGUUAUGGAGACGCCCACAAGCGAAGUAAUUAAACAGAAAAAUAAUGUCAUCCGAUGACCAGUUGAUCAAUCAUCACCCACAUCAAACUGUUCUAGGAAAAUUACGUGUUAUAGCAAAUAUAUACUAUGUAAGUAUACACAAUUAUAGUUUAAAUAAUUACCCACGUAGUUACGAAUUUAAGAUAUGCUUUCUUUAUUAUAUGAGUAUAUAUCUGUCAAACUAUGAUGAUCGAUAUAUCGAACCGUAAAAUAUCGAAAUUGAACUUUAAAAUAUUAUACACAACCUAAUUAAUUUCGUAUGAUAAUGAUAUAAAAUUUUUAAAUAGAAGAAUUACGCUCUAUAUCUAUUUUUGAAAAUAUUUACGCCAUAUAGCUGGUACUUUAUGUAUGAACACCCCAUUUAACCAAUAUUUGUGCAUAAACAACUUUUAUACAGUAUUAUACAAGGGAAUUAAUUGCUUGUACUUUCUUCUGAAUAUUUCUGCAUGUGUAAGAUAUUAAUAUGAUAUAAACAAGCUGUUUCUUGAAAAAUCGAAGUCAUAAUUCAUUAUUAUAUACUAUAUGUAGGUUGAAGUCAGCCAAACAAUGAUUAUCGAUUAACCGUACCACACAUCACGAAAAACUUUAAAAUAGAAACCAACCUAAUUAAUUUGGUAUGAUAGUGACAUAAUAUUUUUAAAAGGAAAUUACGCUCUAUCAAGUUUUGAAAUUAUUUACGCUAACUAGCUAAGUAGCAUACUUUAUGUAUAAAUACACUAUUUAAACCAUAUUUGUGUAAUACACAACUUUUAUGCCCAAUUAUACGCUUCAAUUAUACAAGAUUGAUAAUUAUAUAUAACUAGUCAAGUGUACGUGUUUUGCACGUGUGUAUAACGUUAAUUAAUAAUAUAGAUAUAUUAAAAAAUAAAUUAUUAUAUGUACGUUAUAUUAUUAAGUACAAAACACUGAAAAAAUAACAUUAAAUUUCAUUACAAAUGUACUACUACAUGGCAGAACAAUACAAAUCAAUAACAAUUUUCUUAAACAAUAGAUCAUAUCAUGACAGAAAAAAAUCAGCCAUAUUAAAACAAUGAAACAACACAAAUAGUACUAUUGCAAAUAAAUUAACAACCUUGGUCUCACCUGAAAAAUCUCACAUCAGUUAAACUCAAAUUUUCUUGACAUUAAAAUUCAAGUUUUAAAAAAAAUUAGAUGAAAGUACAUAAAAAGAAAUUCAGAAUAACUGAGUCAUUGACAUAAAUAAAAUUAAUAAUUAAAAGGAGAACUACCAAAUUUUAUAUUGCGGUUUGAAAGCCAAUUCCGAAAUAAAAUAUAGAGUAUCUUAAGUGGAAGGGGGCUUGUCCUGGUGCAAGCAAUUUUUUUCCAGCUAAAUCGUUCAUCAACAUCAUCCUUGUUUUAUUCAAUUAUCGAGAAAAAAUAUCAAUUGAAGGAGAUUCAUGAGAAAUUAUCUAAAGAAGAGUAUUUAUUGUUCAAAUUUUACCUGAAAAAAUACAAAAAAAUUAUUAAAAAGGGAGAAUUCAUUAUUAAUUAUUAAUUAUGUACGAUUCAUAUAUAAUUAUACAAGCUAUUAGCCACAAGAAAUAAAGGAAAGGUAGAAAAAACGAUGAUCAUGAAAGCAAAAAGAUGACUCAAAUCAAAAUUAAAAUUUUAAAAAUAUAGUAAAAGUAGAAGAUGUCAUAUAUAUGUUGAAAUUCUACUUUCAAAUACAUACAUACAAAUCCUAAAUUUGCACGUUAAUAGUUAUUUAUCAAAAUACUUCUUGUUCUUAACAAAUUCUACAAAUCCUAGGCUACUACCAUACAUUUAAUCUGUCUAAAAAAUGAAAUUUUUUAUUUUCCAAAAAUAGGUCAGUUUGAGCUUUUAUUGAAAUUAUUGUUAUUUAAAUAAUAAGUUUAUUAUAUCUCAUAAUAGUUAAGAAUCUUCUUUUAAUUAUUUCCCUAUAAUUAAGAAAUCUAAAUCCUUCGUGACCUUUUUACCUAAAAAUUUCUAUCAAAUUAUUUUCAUAAAAUUUUUUUUAAAAAAAAUUUAAAUAACCUGUAAUAGCAAGUCAAGAUUACCUGAGCGUACACUGAUGAUGAUGCACAAAACUUAAAUUCUUUGAAAAUUCCACUUUUUAAAACUUAGAAAACCAAAAUUAUCGAUUCAGUGCCAUACCGUAACUACAUCGAAUACACUAUAGUACAGCAAGUGAUAUUGUAGGUGCAAAUAUAAUAAUAAAUACCAUGAGAAUAUGAGAGUCCCAAACUUAGGGGAUUCCUCUUCUUCUCUCUCUAUAUAAUAUAGCGUGCAAUAUCCUCUACAGUCACGCUCAUCUCCUUUGUGCCAUAGCAAAAAAUAGGAAGUAUGAACGAAGGGAAGGAAAUUGACAGAAGCUGGCAAGUGGAAAAACUGCUUUUGAUCCAUAUCCAGAGGCGUAGCCAUGUGUAGUGAAGCGUGGUUAGUCGAACAUCUUUGUUACAAAAUUAAUUUCUGAUUAUGCCAAUGUCCGUAUCUGAUACAAAUAUUAUAGCCUUUUGAUUUUUCGUUACUGUGUUGAAUAUAUGGAUUCUUUGUUUUUUUUGUUAACAGAAAAAUAUUUGAAAAAAAAUAAAUCAUAUUGUAAUAUAUUUGCUAUGGUUGAUUGCAGCUUAACAAGAAGUGGAAACGAUCAUUACAAAGGAAAGAGAGGAGAAUGCAAAUAAUAAUGGUAAUAUUGGGUGUAACAAGCUAUGUGCUCAUGUUAUGAGCUGUAUUUUUGUAAGAUGCGCGGUGAAUACGUUAUCCAUGAUAAAGUGUGCAUCACAGUCUUGGAAUGACUAUAUUACGACUCCUUUAUUUGUUCAUUCUCACCUGAGACAUUCAACAAAAACACCCAAGUUCUUUUUGUGAAAUUCAUUCCUCUGAAACAGAGAAGGCCACGGUACAUAAAAAGGGGCAGGCUGCAAUUUAUUUCAGUAGACAUGCAAGGAAAGGGAGAAAUCAAUGAGUUAUACAGCAUCACCCUCCAGUAUGAUUGUCUCCUAUGGUUUACUUUGCAUUUCAUCGACUCGCGGUCGAAUUUAUUUAUGCAAUCCUGUUAUGAAGCAAUUUUGUAAAUUACCCAAAUGUUCACCUAAUGAGUUAGUAGAAUACAUACCUUCAGGCUUCAACUACCGGGUUUGGAUAUCAUCAUUCAACAAAGGAAUACGAAGUGGUCAACUUUUUCUACACCUGUGCUCCAGGGCAUAUUCCUUAUUUUGUGCUUCAUAAAUCUUUUCAGUUGAGACGCGAGGUGUUCACAUUUACUAGCCUAACAAAUGGGCAGGUUUGGAAAGAAAUUGCUGGGACGCCUCCCUGUCACCCGUAUGGUCGAGGGUUGCUAGUGAAGGAAUGCAUGUAUUGGCUGGCUAAACCGAAUUUUGAAGACAAACCUGAUCGAUUUAUCAUUAGAGUUUGAAAAUGGAAAGUUCCUAACUAUAUUGCCUUCGUCCGUAAUGAAAGUUUCCUCCCGGAGUCUGAUGAAAUUGAAAGGGAUGCUUUGUGUGCACCGGUGAAGAAAUAAAUCAUAAAUUUUGUCAAUUAUGAUCCCAGGUAUAUUAUGCCCAUCUUCGCGGCAUGGAAUGAAGGAAUAAUCUAUAAUCUAUAUAAUAUAUUAAAAGCUUAAAGAACAAGUGAUUUGAACUUUUUGCCCUUUAUUAAAAGAUCGCCCUUCAAAUAAAACUGUCUUUUCAUUAUUUUCUUUAAUUUAUUAUUUAAUUAGUUUUAUUAUAUUGAUUACUCCUAAAAUAUAUGGGACUCCUAAAAUAUAUGGAAGGAAAAUUAAUUAAUAUUUUUCUUUGUACCGAUCAAUUAAAAAAAUAUUCCUAAAAUAAAAUUCUAUUAAGAAAAUACUUUUAUGAAUAUUCAGAUGAACGUUAAACUAUUACACUAUCAAACUUAAUAAAACAAAGGACGGAGAAGAGGUGUAUGCAAGGACGAAUUUUUUCAGGUGCAUGCAACCAAUAAAUCUAUUAUUCAGGUGUAUGCAAGGACGACACUAUCAAACUUAUGCAGCCAAUAAAUCUAUUAUUCUCAGGUGUAUGCAGCCAAUAAAUCUAUUAUUAAACUAUUACACUAUCAACUCAUGCAACCAAUAAAUCAAUCCACACUCUAAAGGACGGAAAAUAGGCUAUUGCAUGAAAAGUUUUUAUUUACAACUUAAUAAAACAAAGGACGUAUAUUUCAAACUCAUGUAUUUAAAAGAAUGUGACAUAUUCAUCUAACUUGAUUCGGUUGCAUGUCUAGAUUGGUAGAUGCUUAAUUUUUAAUCCUCAACUUCUUUACUAUUUUUGUCAAUAUAAUAGAAUUCAACGUGUGUAUAUAUAUAUCUUCUCUAUUUUCAUUCAAGUCAUUCUUUUAGGGUUAAAAUUUUUGCUCAGACAAGAAUUAUUUUUAUCAAAAUCGGAGCUUUGAUCACUAUUAUAUUAUUUUGUUGUAGUUUACAGGUCGUAGAUGAAUGUCGAUCGACUUUAAGAAACUUUUUUUGUAAAGGUUAGGUUUAAUUGUAUUGUCUUAAUAUCUCUAUUAGUUUAUUAUUUUGAGGAAUUUUUUGUGUAAUUGUUAGGUUUAAUUGUAUUGUCUUAAUAUCUCUAUUAAUUUAUUAUUUUGUGGUAGUUUAUAAGUUGUAGAUGAAUGUCCAUCGGCUUGGGGGAAUUUUUGUGUGUAAAAUUUAAGAAUAAUUGUAUUGUUUUGAUAUCUCUUUUAUCGUAUUAUUUUGUUGUAGUUUACAGGUGCUAGAUAAAUGUCGAUCGCCUUUAAAGAAUUCUUUUAGGUAAAGGUUAGAUUUGAUUGUAUUGUUUUGAUAUCUCUGCUUUGAGAGUUUUUUUGUGUAAAAGUUAGAUUUAGUUGUAUUAUUUUGAUAUCUCUAUUAUCGUAUUAUUUUAUUAGAGUUUGCAGGUAUUAAAUGAGUAUGGGAAGGCCUUGAGAAAAUUUUUGUAUAAAGGUUGGAUUUAAUUGUAUUAUUUUAUUGUCUCUAUCAUCGUAUUAUUUUGUUGUAGUUUACAUGUGAUAGAUUUUUUUUGCUAAAGGUUAGGUUUAAUUAAGAACUCGUUUGGCCAUGAAAUUUUUUUCCGUUUUUCCUUUUUUCGAGAAAUUUUUUCGAAGUUGAAAAUUGUGGUGUUUGGCUAUAAAAAUUCGAAAAAUAAUUUUGAAAUUUUUUUCUAAAAAAGGAAAACAAGUUUUUGGUGUUUUCACAAUUUUUCAACUCCAAUUUCAACUUUUAUUAUUAUUAAAUAUAACCCCAAUCUUUUAAAUUUUUACAUAAAACUCUCAUAACAGUACUUUUUCAAUAUUACGUAUAUAGCAAUUUUAAAGAAUAAGAUAAUUAUAAUUUCAAACUUAAUGCUAUCCUAAUUAAUAUAUAUCUCUUUUUCUCUCUCAUCAUUGUUUUUCUCCCUUAUUAGGACAUUAUUUUACUGCUAAUGAUCCUAAUUACUAUAAUAAUAAUAAUAAUAAUAAUAAUAAUAAUAAUAAUAAUUUUUCUGUUAUGAUACGGAUGUUUAAGGAAUUAUAGUCGUGUAAUUAAUAAUGGAUAAUCGUUUUCUAUAUUUAUGGAAUUAAUAAAGUUGUAGCAGAUUAGUUUACCACUGCCACAAAUUAUUCUCAUUUUUAAUUUGAUUAUUUAUAUUAUAUUGUGUACAUCUUUAUUAUACUAUUCGAAUAUAAAUAGUUUAUACCAUAUAUAUGCUAAGAAUAUAAACCAGUGAUACAUAUUUUUCAUUAAAAAAUAUGUCCAAUUUAACAAAUUUAUACCUUAAACUGCAACUGCUACCUUUAUAUACCAUAAUACUUGGUAUCUUUAUACACAAAGUAUUAUAUUUAUACCCAUAAAUAUAUAAAGUAUUAUAUUUAUAACAGAAAUAUACAAAGUAUGUUAUAUAUAAAGUUUAUACCAUGUAUACACCAUAUACACGCAUAUAUAAAUAUACAAAAUAUUUAAGAAACAUACUAAGCAUAUUUAUAACAUAAAUGUACAAAGUAUGUUAUAUAUGAAGUUUAUACCAUGUAUAUACCAUAUACACACAUAUAUAAAUAUACAAAGUAUAAAGAAACAUACUAAGCAUAUUUAUAUAUUUAUGGUAUAUGAUAUAAUAUACCAUAAAUAUGCAAAGUAUGUUUUACAUAGAAAUAAUUUAUUCACACACAGUAAAAUCUUUGAUGUAUAAGAAAAUUACAGAAAUAAAUUAGAGGCACCCUUAAAUUUAAUAACAACUCAUCGUUUCCUAUUUUUAAGAACGAAAAAUAAAGGAAAUAAAUUAAAAAUUAAAUAAAUUCCUAAAAAAAUAAAUUUAUUUGAAAGAUAAUAUUUGUUACCUAAAAAAUAGGAAACAGUGAUCUGUUAAUAUAACAUCCAUAUUUAAAAAUUUCAAUUAUGAGAAAACGGCUAUAAAUAUUAUAUAUGUCAUAAUUGAAAUUCAUUAAAUAUGACCAUGUAUAUGUAUUUAUUUUUAUACAAGUGGCUAAUUGUGUUCUUUUUUCGUUAGUAGGUAAAUUUUAGUUAGGUGAUUUUGAUAGUUUGUAAAAGUUGGGGCAUAAAAUCAUAUUAAUUUUUUUUUUUUCAAAAGUAAAAAAAAAAAUUCAAAAAAGACAUGGCCAAACACAACUCCAACUCCAAUUUCAACUCCAACUCCGAAAAAUUUUAGUUUUCAUGGCCAAACGGCUACUAAAUAAAUUUUUCAUCUUUAUAUAUUCAAAAGAUGAUGAAUUUAAUUAUUGUAUUUGUCUUUAUUAUUUAAAUAAUUUUUUUAUUUAGUGCAAUGUUUGAACUCAUAAAAGUGAAGUACACAUGCAAGACGCGUACAAGUAAACAAGAGGGGGCUUUGGGCUGUAGGUGAUAAAAGAGUUUUAAAAUGAGGUGUAGGUGACACAAGUCUUAAUAAUUGAGUGAAUGUGACAAUUACUUUAUUAUGGAUUAAGAAAGUUUAGUAAGUUUGAGAAUAACCCACAAUUUUCUAAAUUUACACUUUGAUCCAAAUGUUUACCUAAUACAAUAGGAAACGGAGGAAAAAAAGCGCCUUUCUCUCUCUUCUAGUCCAUUGUUGUUUUCUCUCUCUUAGCGAUUUUUAUUGUUCAUUGUUGCUGCUGCUUUAUUCACCAUUUUCUGCUUCAUUAUCAUCAUCUUCUACUUCAUUAUCAUCUUCAUCUUUUUCUUGUUGACCAUUGUUGUUGUCAUUGUUGUUACCGCUACUGUUGCUAUUUGACCAAUUUAUUAGGUCAAAUCUUGUUUCGUACAUCACUUUCCACUUUGACAUUACUUCAUAGGAGACUUUAGUAAGUCAAAUUAUGAUUUUUAGUUGAAUUUUUCAUCUGGGUAACUGCUAUUGUGCUAUUUUUCCAACAAUGGAUAGAACCCGAUCAUGAAUCCAACAUAAGAGCCAUCUGUUUAAAUAGAUAAAUCAUCUAUUGCGACAGAUGAGAUAUCUAUUUCAACGAAAGGUUGAUAUGUUGGAUUUAUGUUUAUGGUUCCAUAUGCCGUAACAUGAAUCAAACAGAUCUGGUGCAACGUGGUAAAUAUCUGUUGCAACAUAUUAUUAACCUGUUGCACCAGAACCUGAACUCGAUUCCAACAGACAUGUUGUUUGUUGCAAUAGGGUAUAUAUCUAUUGCAACAGAUUAUGAACCUAUUGCAAUAGAACAAAAACUCGAUUCCAACAGACGAUAACUAUCUGUUGCAACAUAUUAGUAACCUGUUGCAAUAGAACCUGACCUUGAUUCCAGCAGAUCAUCAUAUAUUGCAGCAGGUAAGUCAUCUGUCCAACAUGUUAAUUAUCUGUUGCAACAUGUCACUCAUCUAUUAGAAUCAACUUCAAAGGUGCCUUAGUACUGUAACAUCAAUCCCAACAGAUAUAUAGUCUGUUGCAACAUAUGAUUCACCUGUUACAACAGAUGACUCAUCUGUUAAAAUAAGCUUUAAGAGCGUACAUGAAUCCCAACAGGUAAGUAAUCUAUUGCGACUGAUUAUACAUUUGUUGGGAUUAAUUUACAGCACUAUGAAAUCACUAUUAACUUUUUUUAACAAAUGACUUUAUUUAGGUACCACUAACGGAGGGAUCAAUAAUAAUAGGGGUGGAUUGUCCUGGUUAAUGGAUCAAGAAGAGCAAUCAAUAGGUAUGGCAUUGGAACGAGGGUGAAAUGCUAGAGACGAUAGCUAUGACAGUCCAAAGUGAUGUUUCGUAUGAUGAUUUUGUAAACUUAAUCAUUAGUUAUUGUGGACUGAAUUUUCAAUCAGAAGAACUCGUCAUCAGCUACAUGCACAACUCCUUUGAAAAUUAAAAGGUACUGCCUUUCAAGAUAACCGAUCAGGUACGGUUGCGUGCUUAUCUUAGUGAUUCAUCCAGGCCUGUGUUAAGGGUGUACGUGAUUGAAAAGAUGAGAGAGAAUGAGAACCAGAACAUAGAAGAAGAAAAACAACAAAACAUCUUUGAUGAUAGGUUGGAUGAUCUAGACAUGAAUAUUCUAGAUGAUGAUCAAACACCUACGCCUGUUGAUGUGACCAAUUCGAUGUGCAGUUCUUCUCAAUCGACAUAGUCUGGAAAUCUUCAAUAUGAUGGGAUCAACUUUUUUUAUUGGAAUGUCAUUCAAGGACAAGAAUAAACUAUCUACCACUUUGUUUAUUUCUUUCUUGAAAAAAGAUUUCAGAAUAAAGAAGGUGAUUACUUCGAGCAGUGUCUUUUGCUUCAAAUGUGCUAAUUCGAAUUGCAAGUGGGGAUUGAGAGCGGUGAAGUAUGCAAGUUCUGAAAGAUUCGUCAUUCAUAAACAUGAAAAGUAUCACACAUGUGGUUUAGAGCACACCUCAAUCCAAAAUCCUCACGCCACGACAAAGGUCCUCGGUGAAUAUUUCAGGUGUAGUUUCCCCGAUGGCAAAGGCCUUACAACAAGAGUUAUGGCCAAUUAACUCCUUACGAAAUUGGGUGUCCUGAUCAGUUAUUGGAAGAUAUAUAUGGCCAUGGGGAUUGCUAAGGACUGGUUAGGGGGACACUCGAGCAUGGGUAUGCAGUCCUAGAUGCCUACCGUUACAUGAUUAAGUCCACAAAUUUUGAAAGUAAGACAACAUUGAAUCUUGAUGAAAACGGAAGGUUUAAGUACUUUUUUAUAUCCUAUGGUGCUUGGAUUCAAGGUUUUUGACCUUUGAGAAAAGGCAUAGCCAUUGAUGGUACCUUUUGAGGAGUAGGUAUAAUGGAGUUCUGCUAGCGGUGGUGGCACAGGAUGCGGAGAAUCACAUCUUUCCUAUCGCUUUUUGUGUAGCGGACAAGGAAUGCGAUGUCACUUAUGGAUUUUUCUUUUAACAACUGCGAAGCUGCGUCGAAGAUACUAAAGAGUUGUGUUUUGUAUCAGAUAGGUAUCCAAGUAUUCCAAAGAUAGGUUCACAUUUCUUUACUGCAGCUUACUUUGGUUGUUGCAUCAGGCAUCUUGGAGAGAACAUUCGGAUCAUCACAACGAAAGGGUAGUUACCCUUUUUUAUAGAGCAGCUAAAAAAUAUAGUAGAGAGGAGUUUUUAGACCAUUUCAAUAAAAUAAUGGAUGUGAAUCCUAAGGUAGUAGAAUUUCUCGUACGUGUCAGUUUCGAGUGAUGGACCCGGGUAUUCUGUCCGGUAGAUAGGUACAUUCUUAUCGAUUUAAUAUCUUGUUUGAGUUAUAAGUUUAGUAUGAUGUCGUACUAAGUGAUUGUUUUGUAUAGGUACAAUAUUAUGACAUCAAACAUAGCUGAAUCGGUGAAUUCAUUGUUUGGCGAUGAAAGAGAAUUUCCCAUUAAGGCUAUGCUUGAAAAAAUAAGCAAGAAGUAUGGGGAAUUUUUUAACGAAAGAUGUGUGCAGUUCAAGUGCCCAAAAAGAUCCCGAUUUAUUGUCGAAAUUGAAAAAUAAUAUCAACGAACAUCAAUUUGGGGAAUAGGUUAUUAUCUUAUAAAAUAGUAGAUUACAAAUUCAAUAUCACCGGUCAUGGUGACUUUGCCACGGUCAAUCUUUAAAUAAGAUCUUGUACGUGCAGAGUUUUUGACUUGGACAAAAUACCCUGUCCACAUGCUAUGGCAGUGCUUCGAGCUCAAUACGGUCAUAAAUAUGGAGCUGAAGUUACGAGCACUCCUCUCAAUAUUAUUCGGUGGAAAAAAUAUGAAAUGACAUAUAGUGGGUAUAGUACUCUGGUGCCUUUCGAAGAAUCUUGGGUUGUUCUUGUAGAGCUUAUAGGGAGAUUAAUACCUCUUCCAUAUAUUGACUCAAGCACUAUCAAACCGGGAAGAAAGCCAUAUAAGAGGAGGCGUGAAGUCAGAGAAUCAUUUCCAUCAAGAAGAAAAAAGUGCUCCGUAUGUAAGCGCGCUGGCCACAAAAGAACUACAUGCCCAAAUCGUAAUCCACCAUGAUCAUUGUAAUUGCAAAAACUUGUAUAGUUGUUUGUUGUGGACUUUUAUAUGUUUAACUCAUUAUUGUGAACGUAAUGUUAUCAUUUAUUAUAUAUAAAAUAUCUUUUUAAUAACUUGUGCAUCAAUAAAAAGAGGCAAAAUAGGAACUGUUAAACAAUACAAGAGACCACAAGUAUUUUAAACAGAUUACCCAUCUGUGGCAACAGAUGGAUAUUAGCUGGAAGAACACAACACAGUUCCAUAAAACUGGAAUGUUUUCCUCCAACAGAUGAUAAAUCUGUCGCAAUAGAUGGAUAGUUUGUUGACAGAAACCCAAUCGAUGACCAAUCUGUUCCAACACAUGGUCUAUCUAUUGAAAGAACUCAAAAACCAAAAUUGCUAUUGCUACUAGAUUCAAAAUUACUCCUUACCUCCAACCGUCGACAUGUUAACAUGUAAAAUAUUUAGAAGAAGAAAUAGACAGAAUGAAAAUUGAAUUAGAAUUAAAAAGUCAAAAUCGACUAAAAAUUAUUCUUUCAUUAAACGAAAAAUAAAAUACAUUAGGUAUAGAUCUGAUAUAGAAAAAUUAAAAUACAUACGCUAAAAGAAAAAAUAUAUUCUAAUUAUUAUUAUUAUCAUCAUCAUCAUCAUUAAUGAUAGCCGACCAAUCAAUUCACAACAGCAGGGUCCUCAUCAGCCUGUGCAUCUCUCUGACAAUUGUCGCUCUCACGGCAACCAACUCCCUCUGCAGGUCAUUAACCUGUCUCUGAAAUUCCCGCACUAUGUCGCGCAGAUCAAUAAUGUCCCAAAUAGGAUCAGCCAUUGCUAAAACACACAUGAAUUGGCAAAUAUAAAGAAAAGAGUCCAAAUGUAAUACAACAUAUACUACAAACUGGUAGAUUUACACCAAAAAAACUUACCUCAACGAUAAGGGAAUAUGAUCUUUGAAGAGAAGUUGUUGAAGAUGUCACAUGAAAAGAAAAAAUGCAAUAAAUAAAUAAAUUUUAGCAGAAUGAAGAUUAAGGAGGGACCUAUUUAUAGAGGAUUGAAUCUGGAUGUAUAUGGAUAAAAGACACGUCUAUUAAGCUCCAUUGUAUUAAUUACAUUCAAACUGGUGGCAUUUUGUUUUCUAUGAAAAGUCGUGACUUUUUCGUUUACGUUAAUACUUCUCACCUUUUCAAAAUGGUUUUGAGAAGACCUGAUAACAACCGUUAUUAUUGAGCUAUUGCAAUAGAUCGUCCAUCUGCCGCAACAGAUUUACCAUCUGUUGCAACAUAUAAAUUAUCUGUUGCGACAGAUGGACCAUAUAUUAGAGAUGUUUUGAUUUUUCUAACAACUGAUUCAUCAAUUGCAACAGAUGGAGAAUUUGAUUCAUCAACUGUUUUGAAUGUGUUAGAUAAAAAGUCGCGACACUACCUCUUUUUUAAUAGUCAUCACAUGUGUGUGUUGACACCUAAUUUUUGCCCUCCACAAUCAAGUUUAAUUCUGAGUUUCUUCGAUUUCUAAAUAAAAUCACAACAAUUAUUUUAUUCGAGUAAAUACAAUUUAAAUCAUUUAUUUAGGCUAAAUUUGUCAUUUUAGUAAUAAUGAUAUAUUUUCGUAUUUACAUCUAUGAGAGUGUAUAAAUUUUGUUAUUUAAAUGAACAUUUUUUAUUAUAAUUAGACGUCUAUUGAUUAAACUUGAAAAUUAAUCCAAAUGGAUAGUCUUGAUUUUAAAUAUAAUUUGUUCUCAAAAUAUUUUAUUUAGAGGAAUAUUUGUUUGAUUUUUAUCAAAUCAAGAAACUCGAGGUUAAUUUGUUUCUUAAUUCGUGUCAGAUUGCAAUUUAAUUUAGCGAACUAAUUAAAUAUGACCUCAAUUGAAAUCAAAUUGGCCCCAAUUGUAAUGCAAUUGACCAAUGGAUAUUCAAUUUGGCUAGAUUUAAAUAAGUCGCCUAAAUUGUAAUUCAAUCUUAAUCCCCAAAAAAUUACCGUUUCCUAAUUGAAAUUUUUUUAAUCUAAUUAAAUUUAAUUAGAGUUAUUUUUAAUCUAAUUAAAUUUAAUUAUGGUUAUUAUAAUCUAAUUAAAUUUAAUUAGGGUUAUUUAAUAACCCCAAUUAGAUUUAAUUGGGGUUAUUAAAUAACCCCCAAAUCAACCCCAAUUUCGGCCCAACAUCUUCACAAGACCCAACCCACCUGAGUCCCAAAAUCCUCAGCCCAAUUACACUAACAUUAAAACCAUAUCCAAUGGCCCAUUCCUAAAUUUCAUCCCGAAUUGACCCAUACCCAAACCAGCCCAAUCAACCCAAUUAACCAAUACCCGACCCAUCUUUUGUUUCCUUCUUCAAUCACAACACAUAUGUACAUCAACAAUAAACAACAACAGUAGCGAACAAUGAACAAUAAUGACGACGAUGAAAUAGGUCAGCCAGCGCCGACCCGACCCCAAAACCAGCUUCAUCCGUAAUGGCGAGACCUAACCCAGCGCUGUGCGCACGCAUGUCACAUUCGAUUCAUAUGAAGAGGGCUUGAGAACAUUCUAAAAACAUGCCUAGGUGUGUCAUCCAACGUUUAAAUCCCUAGAAUUUUGGAUUAAAGGGUACAAAUUUGUACCUUUGUGGAGAAAUUUCAUUGGCUUUGGGUGAAUUUUCAUUUUUUUUCAUUCCCAUUGGUUGAAACCAAUUUGAAAUUCUUCAAAGAAUUCAAAAUUGGUACAAGGUUGAGUGAAUUCUGUUACCAUUCUGAAAAAUUCAAAAAUACCCUUUGAAAAAUUUCCCCAAAUUACCCUUGAAUUUGUUUUUCCCAUAUCGACUGAAGCGAGUUCAUCCUCCAAAAUUUAUUUUCAAUAUAAAACUCCUUUGAGAGCAAAAAGAAGGGGACCUUGAAGGUUGAAAAAACAGAUCAAGCAAAAAGUUUUAUUUUUAGUUAAAACAAUAUUUUAGGAAAGAUCUUCGGAGUAGAAACGAAGCUCUUCGGUGGCGAUCGAAAUCCCGAUGAUAGCUCGUUAUCCUAUUUUGCUGCCCCGAAAGGGGUAAACACUUUUUUUAUUUUAACUUCCGUUAUGGUUUUAUUUUUCUUCCUCAUCCCUUUCUUUAUAAUAGUCGUAGUUGUUUUUGAUUAAGUAUGUUGUUUGCUGGGAGUAGCUGUAGAGGUCCUGUGAUGGCCAUAGGAUUUUUUAUCUGUUGCUAUGUUAUCACAGUAUUUGCUCUAUUGUCAAGUUCUUAUAAUUCUGAUUUUCCCAUUUUGAAUUUCUUGUCACAUAUUGAUCUCACUGAUUAGCUGUUGAUCCCUUUUUAACACAUAUCGCCAACAUUCUGUGUUUUGUGUUUGUUAUAAAGCUCAGAUUUUUGCUUCAUCCAAGAAUUUUUGACUUCAUCGAUUUGUUGUUUUAGCUUGAAUUGUUACCUGUCCUGAUUUAAUUGAGGUUUUUAGGUCAUGUCAUUCACUAUUAAGUUACUUAUUUUUUUGUAAUACAUUUUAUGGUUCGCAUGUUUAGUUAUAGACUCACUUUUUUUGUUUCGAAAUGUUGUUCGGCGUAAUUUGAUUGAAGUUUUAAGUCAUUAGGUCAUUUUCAAAUUAUCUCCUUCCUGUAAUAUGCUUAUUGAUUUACUAUUUUAGUACAGAUGCUCUCUUUGAGUCAGAUGAUUUUCUAUCGCACUUUGUUAAGCUUCAAACUACAGGUCUUGAUUAGCGAACUACUAUACUGCAAGGAAAAUAGCUUAUCUUUAAUCUGAAGGGAAAAUACUUUUAAAAGUUUUUCUUUACUAUUAGGACUUAGAGACUUCGAGAGCUUUGGAAUAUUUUUUUUUUGAAACUUUGGGACUUAGGAACUUGGACUUGGGAGUUUCUUCUGACUGAUAUAAACCAUGUGAGCUGACAUGGAGUCCAAUGUCUUGCCCACGUUCGAGAGAGCUGUUCUACCCUUUCCAUCGGAGUAGAACCUUAACUUAAGUGAUCACUAUCUUAGCCCACUAUGGGCAAAUUCAGAAACCUACGGUGGCACGUAGUUCUGGGGCAUGAGACCUUGAAAUCAUACCUAACUCGGUGCUAAAUACUACUCCCAUACUUAAGUUCAGAAUUUUAGGAAAUCCACCUUAAAACAGCACACGGGUUUAUAAUAAAACCAAUUAUGCUUAUCUUUUCUUUAAAUCACAAAGUGUAUGAAUAGUAUGGAUUCCUAUCUUAGCAUAGGAUCAAACAUCAACUUUCUUUAAAUCUUGGGAAGCAAUUUGCUAGAGGAAAACUUAAGGUCAUAGCCUUCUUGAAAAACUCAAAACUCAUUUUUGAUAUAUAACAAUAAAACAACUUUCAAGAACAUGAUAUUAAAAUCUCAAUAUUUGAUCUUUGGGCUAAAAGAUUCAUGCUUUAAACUCAUGAAAAUAUAUAACAACACUUUAUGCUCAACAUCAUUCUUGAUAUAUUUCAGCAAUAUCAAUCCAUAAAAAGGGAAGUCCAAUUCAUGAUAUAAAUUCUCAAUUCAAAGCAUAAAUAGGUGGGAUAAACAUGCAAACACAAGGUUUAAAUAACUUAUAAUUCCACAACCUUAAAACAAGAUGAUUUGGGUGUAAACCCCAACAUGAAAAUCAUGAAAUCUUUAAUAAAAUUCAAGUCUUUGGGCACAAGAAUGAAUAAAUUGUUCUUGUUCUAACCCCACAUACCUUAGAUGAUGAAGUAGAUGCACACGUUUGCUUUUUGAGACUCUAUUUGCACUCUUGAAUGAAGAUUCUUGAAGCUCUUGGUCUAGGGAUCUUAAAUCUUUCAUCAAUAUGGAAAAAGGAUGGUGAAAUAUUGAGUUUCUUGGAGAUGAAUAUUGAACUUAGGGUUUUCAAUUGGGUGAAGUUGAUGAAAUUUUGCCUAAAGUGCUUGUAAUAGGCUUUGAUUUUGUGUUUAGACGGAGGCCCUUUUGGAAUUGAAUUAGCAUGCAAAAUAGCUUUGGAUCCGUGUCAGUUUUUCUAGUUGAGGCAAAGUCAAUGCGACGUGUCAAGAUCGUGUUGGUUUACUGCCUCACACGAAAAAUGCCAUAAAAUUUUUACUCGAUUAUCGGAUUUUUGUGAAAUUGGUAUCGUUGGAAAGCUAAUUCAAUUAUAUACAAUUUGGUGGGUCUUGAGAUGAAAAAUUCCAUGUAUAUAAGAGGUUAUACACGUUUAAUUUAGAUCCUUGUAGAAUCAAACACCAAAUGUUGGAUGAAUCAAAUGAUCUUAGUUCAACUUUGUUCUAAGUCAUUGCUAUGAACAUUUUUCACCUCUAAACCACUUCAUAGACUAUGAUAAUGAUUGUGAAACUUAUAUUCACAUGGAAAUAAUUUGGAUUAGAGCUUAUACGCCUAGGAUCUAUGGUUAGAAUUCUAGCACGAAAAUAUGGGGUAUUACAUUAUCUAUCCCUUGGAAUUAUUCAUCCUCGAAUGUGGCUAAUUAAGCUUAAAACACUGAGGAAUCUGAGGCUAUACGCUAUCAUGCAUAACUGAAAUAAACUGAAUCACUGAAUCUUGAAUAUAAUGAGCUACUAAACUGAUCUGUGAGUGCAUAAAUUCUCAUGAAAAUAGCUAUAUGGCUAAGAUAGAAAUGACAGUGUCAACUUAUGAGUAACCAUUACUUUACGCUGGAUCUGAUCUCAUGAGAAAAAAGAGAGAGGUUUAUAACAUAAAAACUCGAGGUAUUGCAAUAUCCCCUUCUUAGGAUCGUUCAUCCCCGAAUGAUACUGAUUUGCUUGAAAUACUAGGAAAAGAUUGAGAUGAUACACAGGAUACUCACGAACUGAAUCAUGACCUUAAUAUCUGAAACUAAAACUGAUGCAUGAUGCGUGUGCUGAACUAAAUUCAUAAUUUACAUGGAUGCGAACCCAUUACUUCUUGGCAUGGAUAUACUCAAGAAGCUUUAGGUAGUAAGACUAGACUAAAUUGAAAAAUGGAAAACUAUAUAAAUUUGUCUAUCUGACUAUUAAACUGGACUGCUGGAUACACAGACUGAUUCAUACUGAAUUCUCACACCCAAAUAGGGUAUUUCUUUAACACUCUUUUAGGAAGUUCUAACGAUAUUAGAGAGCAAAGUAUUUUGGGCAUGAUCUCAACAAGACAUCUGACUAGGGAAUCACAACACUGAUACAACUCUAUAGUUUGGAACUUAGACAUAUACAUUAUAAGCUAGGUUAGAAUUUCUAGGCCUUAGGCAAUGCAACUUCUUACUUCCAAGCUUAGCAACUCUUCUCGAAUACUCCCUCAACUAUACUAUUCCCCUUAAAUACCAUACUCACUUGAUUCAACUUGUAAUUCUCACAUGGGUAUUGAUAAACCUAUCUACUAAGGUCUAAACUAAACUAAGUCCUCUCACAAAGGCCAAGCAUAACUCAAAAUCACGGGUACUACACAUAACACAAUAACUGAACUGGACUACCGACGCGAUAUGCGACGCGUCGCGUUGCUCCUUAUCAAUGCGAUAUAUGAUGCACCGUGACCAUAUCGUGUUACCUCACUAUUUUUACCAUCAAACCUCGCCUAAAAAAUCUGAAACUUACACGAGAUGUGCUAUUGACAACCCCGAUCAUGAAUUCACUUAAGGAUUGACAUUCUAAGGUCGGGAAAGUUGGAAACUAAUGCGCACCGCAUUCAUCCACUUAUAAACCAACAUAAAAUUCACGCCUAUGGCUAUAACCUCAUAUGAACGUCUAAAUAACCACCCAUAAUGGCAUACUCCUUGUAUUCUUUAAACCUCUAUCAUAAAAACUCCCACGUGCUACCCCAAGAACAUACACACAUAAAUUUUAACUAACCACAACAUAUAUCAAAUACUUGGACUCAAUAUUACUUCACACUCAUGGCCUUAUCUAAAAAAAGCAUACAAUGAUAUUUCAUCAACAAGAAAUAUUUACUCAUCACCACUAUCAUUACAUAAGGAGAAGUCACUAAAAGGUUAGAACAUGAGACCUUGAAGUAUGGAAGGAUAUUAUAUAAAAAUUGAUGCUUAACUGAGGCCCGAGGAUAGAGAAUCAAUAUCAUAGAUUCAUCAAAGUGAUCUGAAUUGAGGGCAUACAUGGCUAUAAGAUGAAUCUCACCAAUUAUUAGGAGCAUAGCAGGAGUUAUGAGAACUGAUCAUGCUAUAAAGCAUGAGUACAUAAGUCAUGGUCUGCAUGAUCUGAGUUUAGAAUCCAUGAUGUCAUGGAACAUAAUCUGUACUAUUGAGUGAACUGGAACUGCUUAUGCUAGGAAUUGGAAGUAUAUAUGAUUUUCUAUUAUGCACAUGAAUAUGAACUUUGAUCAUGGAACUGACACAUAAGGCAUGAGUAGAUAUCAGAAUAAUUGAAUUAAACUAUUGAAAUAAGAAUGGAUUAAGCAUCAUUCUUCCUUACGGCUAUUUUACAACAUACUGGCACUCAUGCUAGAAUUUGAAAGCUUGACUUGGUUCUUUAUUAUAUCAUCUCCCUCUUAGCUUUAAGCCAUUAUUCUAAGUUUGUGAACAACUAUAUAAACUCUAAUCUAAACUUCAAUCACUUUACUCCAGAGUCUGGGAUAUAAGUCAAUACACAUAAAACUAAACUUACCCUGAAGGAAUGCACCUUCACUUAUAACACCCAACUCUAAUACCUACUUUUGAGAUUCAACUCUUAUAUUUCUGUAGCCCCAAAGUCAUCAUAUAACAACAUAAACACUCACCAACUUAGACUUUAACACUUAACAUGGAUAUCUCUAAACCCUUGCUAGACCAUACUUUCUUCAUACUCUACAAAUGUCACAUCUCAAAACUUAUAUUUUUCUCUAAACCAUGAGAAUCAAGAUCAUAUCAAAAGGCUAAACAUUAUCAAUUAAAACUUCUUAACUUAGUUAUUUAUGACACCAUAUACCCUGUAACUAGCCUUCUUUCACUUAGCAAUUCAACAAUACUACCAACCACAUACAACAUACAAUAAUCUCCGAAAAAUAAAGCAAUCCCAUAUCACCUUAGGCAUAUUGCGAUACAUUAUACUUGCAACACCAUACUUAAUGAUGAAUAACUAAAAUCAAACUCUUUAAUACAUGGUUCAAGCCUACUAGAUUACUUCCAUACAACUAGCCGUAUUAGCCAAGAAAUCAUUACACCCACUUAGAUAACCAUCCACUGUUCAAACUUAAGGUCUAGUGCUAAACAUGAUUUAGCAACCCACCUUAUAAACCAUUCUUGCUCAAAAGCUAUAAAAUAAGACAUCAAGAAACACUAGUCCACUAAAACCUUAAAUGACAACAAUAAUCAAUCAUAAUUAUAUGUGCUAUCUUAUUUACAAUCCCUUAACAUAUCCUCCUUCUACACAUAAUUACUAUUCACCCAUCUAUAUACCUAACUUCUUUUAUAGCUCUAUAAAUUUCAACUAAAACUCCUUUUUGCAACCCCAAGAAAAGCCUAAACUAAUGAUACUAAGCCACUAAAUACUUCAUUAAUACCCUAUACCUUUUAAACAUAAUAAAUACCAUCAAUAACUCCUUUCGUACUUCAAGCAAACACCAAUUCACCUUAACUAAUAAUUCAUUGUCUACCUUCCACUAAACACAUAUUACCAUAACGUAAAAAUCAAUAGCAUGCAUAAACUUAUCUCUAUACUUUCUAUCAAUCGUCAUUUCCACUUUUCUUGUCACUAUUCUUCUAUACCCAUACUUUCAACUAUAAGAAGGUUCUACUACUUAUGAAUCAUAACAAUUCAGGUUGCAAUAUCCCUUAAUGCAAACUCUAUUCAACAAUCUAGAUUCAUAUUAUCUCCUCUUAUGAGCACUAUUUGUAUUAAAGGAAUAAUGAGGAAGCUGAAUGCAUAGCUUAUUCUGUCUUAAAUGUACAACUCCUAUAGGUAAGAACAUAGACUUUUGACUUAAGGAACUUAACACACUAGGGAGCUCCCCCCAAGCCCUUUGUAUGACUUUUGAAAUUUCUGCUAGUAAAUCUGAGAGCAUUAUCUGGGGAGGAACUAAAACUUACUAAUUAUGUUAUUUCAAGAAUAAGUCAUAGAUAGGGAAGUAUAGAUUAACAUUAUAAAUUUUGAGAAGGGAUCUGAAAAUAGAUCUGACUUGGGCUUAGUGCACUAUUUUCAUAAACAUGAAUGAAGUUCUUUAAAGUUUGGAACUUAAAAGCAUUGAUGAGAUAAGUUUGAGCCUGCGUACAAUCCUAUAACUAUCUGUGGGGACUGUCAGAGAAAGCUACAUCUGUAAAGGUUUAAGCUUAACUAUUUUUGUUACCUAGAAAAUAAGGCAGGGGUAGUCUGAAUAGAGCAAGAUGAGAAUCUGUAUAAGUUUCUUAGAGGACCUUUCUAUAGCAUAAUCUGAGACUUGGGGAAGGGAAACAUUUCCUAAAUGCCCUAUAGCUUCUCAAAGAAAAGUAUAGACGUCUCUGUACCAUUUUGCAAGACUCUACUAGACACGACUUCAUAAACACCCUAGGACACUUGAACCUUGUGCUCUGAUACCAAGUUUUUAACGCCUCAAAAAUCUAUCCCGAGAUGUCACACAGUGCUUAGGACCACAAGUGAUUUCAAGCUAACCCUUCUACUGGCAUAACUCAUAGGCAGCUGAAUAAUAUAUAUAACAUGAAUAAAUUUACUAUAUGAAAACAUAUAAUAAUGAAAUCUGUGAAAUUAUAAUACUGAUAAAGCUUUACAAUCUAAUAAAUCUGAAGUAUGAAAACUAAAUUUACAUGAUUGACUCUAACUGACAUCUGUGAAGCCUCUACUUUACUGGCUAUAGAUAGCUAAGACGCGACCCCAACUAUCACUAAUCAAUACAUAUGAUUAUGAAAGUAAAGAACAUAAAUAAAUCUAGCUAAAGUCCCCAAAGUAGGAGGACUCAUCAUCUUGUGGGCUAGAAUCUACAACUGUCUGAGUCUGAAUGUUCAUACUAAAACUUGUACCUACAUUAUGAGACAAUUUCUGUAACCCCCUAAAUCUUGUACCCAAAAUGCUACUCGGUGCCUAUGACCCCGAAGGACCAUAAGCUAAUCCAUGACUGAUAUCUGUAAUCAAGCACUGAAUAAUAAUAAUAAUAAUAAUAAUAUCGUAACUACAGAAACAUAAAUUGAAAGGCCAUAAGGUUCAAUACUAGUACAUAACUGAAAAUAUGGUAUAACAAUACCAAAAUAACUGAAAUAACUAUAUAAACAUACUGUAGUCUGGAAGCCUCUAAAAUGUCUGACUAAGGAGUUAAUUGGACAUGUCCCCAACUAACUUCGACUACUGAAAUAAACUAAAAACUAAAAUAAUAAUGUAAUCAUCAUGUCCUCAUGAAAUAAACUAAAAACUAAAAUAAUAAUGUAAUCAUCAUGUCCUCAAAGGAUGAGGACUCACAGCUAACUCUGAUUGCUGAAUUGGCAUGCUACUGAUGGUUUGACGCUCGUGCUUCUAAACCUAUGGUAUAAGACACCAUAGUGAAAAUGCAUUAGUACUUUGAAUGUACUGGUAUGCAAGUGAGGUAGGCUGAAUGCAAGGGAUUUCAUAUGCAUGAACAAUACUAACUGAUUGACUAAACAUGAACAUGGGAAUACAUGCAUGCAUACGUAACUGUAUCUGACAUCUUUAUAGGACUGAAUAUUGAGUUCUGACUAUUGAGUUUACUAAUAACAUGGAUUUACUAACAUUUGAGUUGACGAAUAUUGAGAUACUAAAUAAUUAAGGGACUGAUACUACGUUACUGAUACAUAAAUAACUGUGUUUAAUAGUUCUAAUUUUGAAGAAUUGGUCUGGUUGACUGUAUCUGACAAUCCUGAAGCUGAAUACUGAUAAAAUGAGUUUUGAUAACUGAUAUAACUAAUAACAUGAGUGACUGUAUUUGACAGUCCUGAAUCUAAUGUAACUAGCUGAGUUCCAUACUAUAUCUGAGUGACUAUAUCUGACAGUCCUAAAAUUUGUAGAAUUAUCUGAGUUCUAUUACUGAGACUGAGACAGAAAACUGAGAUUGUGGGAAGUAAUCAUCUAACCGAUAUGCCCCAUACUAAGGUAACUGGGGUCCAACCUGUGACCCUAGUUGGAAGGGUAUCAGUACCGCGCAACUAGUAUAGACAACUGUGGUGGAGUUAGUCCUAAUCUAGCGGGUGACCCCUGGGAUCAGUCCUAUACAUUUAAAUGUGCUAAUAGGUGAUCCAUGAGUAUGUCAGUCCUAUCUAACGGAUGACAUCUCAUACCAACGCUGGCUACGUAGUUCUAGAACUUAGGGAUUUCUUCUAGGGAUCUCAGUCCUAUCUAGUGGGUGAAUUCCCAUCCCUAGGCUCGCUCGAUGCUGAAUUCUACUCCCAUCUGAAAGACACUGAACUGAUUAACUGAACUGAAGUGAUUAUCUGAAUUGAGCUGAUACUAAUGGUAUUGUUUAGCGGAGCUAAACUGAGUUUAUUGAGUUUCAUUGACUGAUGAAAUGUACUGAGUUUUGAGGACUGACUGAGAGUACUGAAGUUACUGAGAUUACUAGGAAUACUGCGGUUACAGAGAUUACUGAGUAGGACUGAUCUGAUGGAUACUAAUUUAUUAAGAUUUCUUGAGUCAUGAGACUGACUAGAUUCUACUGAUCAUGGCUUGAUUGAGAUUAUCAUGAAAACCUGACAUGGCUCUGGGCCGACAGCUAAAUUAUCGGGUACGAGUAUCCCUAGGACUCGAUGGAUAGAAACUAACAUAACAUGUCUUACUUGAACAUAUGACCAACAACACAAUUCAUAAUUCAUAUAUUGAAGCACUUCAUCAAACAUGUGAUAUGCAUAAACUUGUACAUAUAUGGGGAUUUCAUAAUAUCAUGCUAGUUGGGCAUUUUUCCUUUAUAUAGGCACUUAAUCAAACACAUGGUAGGAAUAAUAUAUGUAUAAAACAUUAUACAACAAUUAAACAUCAUGAUUGAACAUCUAAUUUCAUCAUCCUAGGGUUUAAUCAUAGGUUUACAUGAAUAUACAUCUAUACAAAUCAAUUCCACAUAACAUUGAUCACAAAACAUGGAUUUGAAUUCAAUUGAUCAUUCUCAGCAUAAACAAAACAAAUCCAACAUGAAAUUCAUAAAGAAAUCCAUAAACUUAAACUUAGAAAAGAGAUUCUUGGGCUUCAUGGAUGAAAAGAGUCCAUGAAUGAACACUAUGCAUACCUUGGUUCAUAAAUAUACAAAGAUUGACGGAGGAAAUUCUUGAACUUGAAUCUUCUAUGAAAAACCCUAAUAUGGUCUUGAGAGGAUUUUGAGAGAAUAGAAUAUAUUUUGGUGUACUGGAGGCUCAAAUCCGUAUUUUUGAGCUUAUAUAGGGUAAGAAAAUUGACCCUUUUAACCCUAGGACACAUAUUUUAAUUCUUCUGAAAAUUUCCCAAUUUUCAUCCUUGGCCCGAUGUGCCACUAUCGUGCUAAGUCACUAGAACUGUACAAUUGGGAAUUUGCAGGGUGGCACGACACCGAGCUAUCACGUUGCCACCCUGUUUGAGACCUGGAAGUUUGGCGUGAAAUGCCACUAUCACAGAGGAACACUGAAAAUUUACAAUUGCUAUUUAAGCUGGCUCCACAACGUGCUGAUGGCUUAGGUGAUACACUAUCUCACUAAAAAGGCUCUAACUCUUUGCCCAGGUCUCACAUGACAAAAUGAAAAUCUUGAAAAUACUAAAUGUAUAAAAGUAGAUUCAUCUUUGAAACAAGUCUUUGACAUUCUUGGGAUGGAUUUAAGCCGGUAGAAGUACGAGGUAUUACAAUAUCUCUCCCUUGGGAACAUUUAUCCUGGAAUGAGACUGAUUGAUAUGGGAGAAACGAUAAGCUGGAGUACAUACUGAACAUGAACAAUUGAAACAUGACUACCUGAAUGAUAUUACUUAGAUUCAUACUGAGCAUACAUAUCUAAUACAUGAUUUUAUGACUGAGCUGAUGUAUGACUGCAUAACUGAGAGUACUGAUAAGCUGAUCACGUAUAUCUGAUGCAUGAAUACAUGAAUGAACUGACUUAAAGAUACCAGGUUUGAAACCAAAACUGAGCAUAGAACUGAAUACCAUAUUUGUAACUGAAAUAUGAACAUGAAACUGGAUAAGCUUAAGAAUAGAUACUAUCUUAGGCUGAGUUUGAAUUUAAUUACUAAAUAUGCAUGAGCAAAAACAUAAGAGCAUAACUGGGUCUAGAACAUGAUAUAUGAGCUGAAUAUCGUGAUCUGAACUGAGUACCUUGAAUACGUGGCUUACUGCUGAAAUUGGAGUCUGGGGGUCAACCUAUGGGUACCCGCUACUCCAAACUAGAUUUGUUAUGCGAAGAGAAACUGAAUUUAAGACAUGAGAGCGUUGAGGAAUAAUGGGAUAUCUUCCCCUUGGGACACUACCUCUCUCUAAGAACGCUCACCUUACUAAGAUACUGGGGCAAUGCAUAGGGCAUCAACCGACUAAUUUAUGAUUGAAUACCUGGGGUUCAAAACUGAGACAUAACACCAAAAUUGAGCUAAACUCACAAUCACCAAGAUGUAUUACCUUGAACCGAUCUUAUUCACAAAACUUAGGAUAGUAUGGCUAAAUGAAAAGUUGGAAAACAAACCAUAGGAAUUUAACUGUCUGACUGCUAAAUGAAAUUACUAGUUUUACUUACUAACUCAUGCUGAAAAAUCUUAAGCCAAAAUAAGAGAAAGAGGUCUAAAAAUGCAUAUCAUGAGUAUGAAGGAUCUAUAAUGUACCCAAAUCUAUGCUGGGAGAAUUUCCAUGAUCAUGGUGAGUCUGAAGAGCAUAAAAACUAUUUUGACGCUGGCCACUAGUGGUACUAGAAGUGAUGCCCUACUGGCAUAAAUCCUUUCCCUUCCGAGCCCUUACUCUAUAUUCCUAUAGCCUGUGGCCUGGCUUACCACAUCCAUAACAAACCUCCCUGCCUGCUCUUUAUACACCUAGGUGAUUCUUACCACACUCUUUACAAAAAAGAUAGGUAAGACUCCUAUUCUCACUACCCUGGGCCUCAGAGCCUGGCGACCCAUCACGACUGUCAUUCCUGAACUUAGGUACUGGUGCACUAGCUAAAGAUGGGGCUGGGACUAAGAACUUAUGACUAUACUGAUAACGGCUACCACCCUAUGACUUUGGCUGAGCAAAGUUGAAACUACCUAUCCUUGCCCUCUUAUUCUGCUUUUUAUUCACCUUAAUCUUUUGCUCUUCUAUCUAUUGAGUAUGGGUCACAAGUCUAGAUAAAGUUAUGUCACUAUUUAGCAUGGUGGAUCUGCACUCAUUUACCAUGCUAGCAUUCAUUCCUGACACAAACUUACUCAUCUUGGCCUUACUGUCUGAAACCACAUAAGGGGAAUAUCUGGCUAAUUGAUUAAACUUAAGAGAAUACUCUUUCACCAUCAUGUUGCCCUGCCUAAGGUUGAUGAAUUCUAACACUUUAUCUUCUCUAAUCUCUAGGGGAAAGAACCUCUUUAAGAAUGCAAUGACAAAUUCAUCCUAUUCUAUAGGCCCUGUAUCAUCUCCCCUUUCUAACUUCCACUACUUGAACCAAGUAUGAAAAACAUCCAGUAACUGAUAUGUAGCUAGCUAAGUACUCUCAAUAGUAGUCACCCCUAUGAUAUCAAUCACCUUCUAAUCCUGAUCUAGGAAUUCCUAAGAGUCCUCAUCUGACUUAGACCCAAGAAAGAAUAAAGGGUUCAUUCGGGUGAAGUCCCGAAUCCUGGCUGCAGUUGAAUUAGCCACUUGGUUGGCUGGAACAAUAGGUGGUCGUUCAUUCUGAGCAGCAAUUGACUGAGAAAGAGUAGUGAAUGUAUCCCUAAAAUCUACAUGAGAAACAUGUUCGCCCAAAGGUUCUUCAGCUGAGGGACUGACUGAUUCCUAUUUUUUCUUUUAGGAGGCAUGUUCUAUAGAAGAAAGGGAGAAACGGAUUAGACUGAGAGUUUAACUUUAAGCCUAUGCUCACUGGCACGACAUGAAUACUGAAAGAAAGGAAACUGUUCCUAAAACAUCUCAUAGCCUCCUGCACAUAAGUGUGGUAUAAAAUAUACCUAUGUACAAGACUCUACUAGAUGCGGCUCUUAAACUUCCUAAGAAACUAUUGAACCUGUCUUUGAUACCAAGUUUGUAACGCCCCAAAUCUAGUUGUCGAAACGCUACCCGGUGCCUAUGACCCCAAAGGACCACAAGCUAACCCUUGACUGAUAUCUAUAACUGAGCAUUAAAUAAUAAUAAUAAUAAUAAUAUCAUAGCUGUGAAAACAUGAACUAAAGGACAUAAGGUUCAAUACUAAUAUAUAAUUGAAAAUAUGGUAUAACAAUACCAAAAUAACUGAAAUAACUCUCUGAUCAUACUAUAGUCUGGAAGCCUCUAAACUGUCUGAAUAAGGAGUUGAAGAGACAUGUUUGCAACUAACUCUGACUACUAAAAUAAACUAAAAGCUGAAAUAAUAAUGUAAUCAUCAUUUCCUUGAAGGAUGAGGACUCACAGCUAACUCUAACUACUGAAUCGGGAUGCUACUGAUGCUCUAGCGCUCGUGCUUCUAAACCUAUGGUAUAAGACAUCAUAAUGCAAAUGUGUCAGUACUUUGAAUGUACUGGUAUGAAAGUAAGGUAGGCUAAAUGCAAGGGAUUUCAUAUGCAAGAACAAUACUAAUUGACUGACUAACAUGAACGUGAGAAUACAUGCAUGCAUACGUAACUGUAUCUGACAUCAUGAUAGGAUUAAAUAUUGAGUUCUGACUACUGAGUUUACUAAUAACAUGGAUUUACUGACAUCUGAGUUGACGAAUACUAAGAUACUGAAUAAUUGAGGGACUAAUACUAUGUUACUGAUACAUGAAUAACUGUGUUUGACAGUUCUGAUUAUGAAAAAUUGGUCUGGUUGAUUGUAUUUGACAAUCCUGAGACUGAAUACUGAUAAUAUAAGUUCUGAUAACUAAUAUAACUGAUAACAUAAGUGACUGUAUCUGACAAUCCUAAAUAUGAUAGAACUAGCUGAGUUCCAUACUGUAUUUGAGUGACUGUAUCUGACAGUCCUAAAAUCUGUAGAACUAUCUGAGUUUUAUUACUGAGACUAAGACUGAGACAAAAAACUGAGAUUGUGGGAAUUAAUCAUCUAACCGUCAUGCCCCAUACUAAGCCCAGUGGGGUCCAACCUGUAGCCUUAGUUAGAAGGGUAUCAGUAUCGCACCACUGGUAAAGACAACUGCUAUGGAGUCAGUCCUAAUCUAGAGGGUGACCCUUGGGAUCAGUCCUAUAUAUUUAAAUGUGCUAACGGGUGAUCCCUGAGUAUCUAAUGGGUGAAAUCUCAUACCUACGCUAGCUACAUAGUUCUGGAACUUAGGAAUUUCUUCUAGGGAUCUCAAUUCUAUCUAGCGGGUGAGUCCCCAUCCCUAGGCUAGCUUGGUGCUGAAUCGUACUCCACUCUGAAAGACACUGAACUGAUUAACUAAACUGAAGUGAUUAUCUAAAAUAAGCUGAUACUAAUGGUAUUGUUUAGUGGAGCUAAACUGAGUUUACUGAGUUCCGUUGACUGACGAAAUGUAUUGAGUUUCGAGGAUUGACUGAGAGUACUGAAGUUACUGAGAUUACUAGGAAUACUACAGUUACUGAGAUUACUGAGUAGGACUGAUCUGAUGGAUAUUGAAUUUACUGAGAUUUCCUGAGUCAUAAGACUGAGUAGAUUCUACUGAUAUUGGCUUGACUGAGAUUGUUAUGAAAACCUGACAUGGCUCUAGGCACACAACUAAAUUAUUGGGUACGUGUGCCCCCAGGACUCGAUGGAAAGAAACUGGCAUAACAUGGAUUACUUGAACACAUGACCAAUAACACAAUUCAUAAUUCAUAUAUUGAAGCACUUCAUCAAACAUGUAAUAUGCAGAAACUUGUACAUAAAUGGGGAUUUCAUAAUAUCAUGCUAGUUGAGAACUUUUCCUUCUUAUAGGCACUUAAUCAAACACAUGGUAGGCAUAAUAUAUGUAGACAACAUUAUACAACAAUUAAACAUCAUGAUUGAACAUCUAAUUUCAUCAUCCUAGGGUUUAAUCAUAGGUUUACAUGAAUAUACAUCUAUACAAAUCUUCCACAUAACAUUGAUCACGCAACAUGGAUUUGAAUUCAAUUGACCAUUCUCAACAUAAACAAAACAAACCCAACAUGAAAUUCAUAAACUUGAACAUAGAAAAGACAUUCUUGGGCUUCAUGGAUGAAAAGAGUCCAUGAAUGAACAUUAUGCAUACCUUGGUUCAUAAAUCCACGAAGAUUGAAGGAGGAAAUUCUUGAAAUUGAAUCUUCUAUGAAAAACCCUAAUGUGUUCUUGAGAGGAUUUUGAGAGAAUAGAGUAUAUUUUGGUGUAAUGGAGGCUCAAAUCUGUGUUUUUGAGCUUAUAUAAGGUAGGAAAAUUGACCCUAUAACCCUAGGACAUGUAUUUUAAUUCUUGUGAAAAUUUCUAGAUUUUCAUCCUUGGCACAAUGCACCACUAUCGCGCCAAGUCAUUGGAACUGGAUAAUUGAGAAUCUGCAUGGUGGCGCGACGAAGAGCUAUCGUGUUGAUACCUUGUUUGUGACCUAUAAGUUUGGUGCAACGCACCACUAUCAUGGAGCAACACUGGAAAUUGACAAUUGCCAUUUAAGAUGGCUCCACAACGUGAUGAUGGCUCAGGUGAUACACUGUCUCACUAAAAAUGCUUUUCGUCCGGGUGUCGAAUUUGGACGAAUUUAGUAUCGAUGGAAAGCUUACUGAAUUUUCCAUAUGACAAAAAGUGAAAAUCUUGAAAAUAACACAUGUAUAAAAGUGUAUUCAUCUUUGAAACAAGUCUUUCACAUUCUUGGGAUGGAUUUAAGCUGGUAUAAGUACGGGGUAUUACAAUGUAGCACAUAGACUGUAACACCCUGAAUGUUUGAGCUAAAGAUAAAACAAAUAUGACCGCUCUCACCUGGAACUCCAAUUGUUAAGAUGCAACAAAUGAAUCUCAACUGGAACACUUAUAACCAUUCCUUAUUUCAUUGAGUACUGUAAAAGCCAUGAUUCAAGAACAUAAGGGAAUGCUUUCUGAAAGAUUGAAUAUGAUCUUUCUUGAUUUUGUUUCCUCACCAGUAAAGGUAUGAUUCAUAAGUUAAUUAUUCUGUUAUAAAGAAAAAAACCAACGGGAGCUAUCUUCAACUUUAAAUAGGAUAUAUGACUUCUUGCAAUAAGGUUUUAAAUUUAUCCAUUAUGCUUGUAAGUGUAAUGAAAAAGCUUUGAUAUGAACCCCUUAAGAGAAUGUAUCCUCACUCGCCUAGAAAGCUAUGAAGUGAUACCAAAUCAAAAUUUUAUGAAUUCAAAAUUGGUUGAAUUCCCAACAUGAGCCUAAGAGGCUAAAUUACGUACAUGAGCCUAAAAAGGAUAAUCCACUAGCAUGAGAUUAAUAUGGCUAAAACUUUGAACAUAAAUAAAUAGGUUAACUUCAUGAGCAUAAGGGAGUUUGUUAGCUGACCGUAAUGGUAUAAAUUUAAAUGACAAAUGCCCGAAACUAUGUUUGCCGACAUAGGAUAAAGAUUAUUCCACAAGUUGAAUGACUCUUUUUACAUGUGCCUGAAAAGGGGAUAACCAUGGAUACUUUCUAGCAAAUUAUGUCAUGUCACGUUCUAUGCCCAGUAAGGUAUAGGAUGGCUUAGCUGAUCGGGCCCAGAUCAGAAUCCAUGACCUGUCAUGGUGGUUUAUGACGGUUCAGUACUUUCUUCCACAAAUAAUCAAAGAAAGUAAAUCUACUUUACUUGAUCAAUUAUAAAUUUAGUUUACAUUCUUGUUCUUUUCCAGUUGCCUUCACUUAUAUUUGAAUUUUAUUGUUACUUCUAAUCCCCUGAUGUACUACCCUCCUGAAAUGGUUUUGCAUAUCAAUACAUUCCAAGUAUUGAUUGUCUUUGGCUCUACAUCAUUUCAUGAUGUAGGUUUUGGAUCUCAAGUCCGCGGUCAAGUACCUCAUUAGGAUUAUUAUCUUUGCUAUUGGCGAACCUCUUUCCUACCAGGAGGUUGGACGAGUUAUGAUGCCUUCUUUAUAUUUUCUUUUCUUUCAAUAUUGGUACUUAUUAGAGGAUUCACAGACUGGUUUAGUUAUCAUAAAGAUCUUGCAAUUUUUAGUCCUAUUUUUCAUGACUAUUGUAUUGUAAGACAUUAUGUGGUAUUAAAGAACAUUGAUGAAAGACUUUCUCCUUUAAUAAUUAUUAUUUCGUAUUAUUUUCUCUCUAUUCAUUAUGUUAGGUGUAUGCUCAUGUGAUAUGCCAAAAUGUUUGCUCAUACUAGCAAUAGUAUCGAGUGCAUGUGACGUCUAGGGCCUUGGCUCGGGGCAUAACAAACUUGGUAUCAGAGCUCAGAGUUUAAGUGUCUUAGGGUAUUUAUGAAGCCAUGUCAGUAGUGUCCUAAUUAUGGGUGUGAUGUGCGCCACACUUAUGAUUUGGAGGCAGCAGGGCAUUUAAGAAAUAUUUCUAUUCUUUCAUACUCUAGAUCAUGCAAUAGAGUUGCUCUAAGAAACUUAUGCAUACUCAUGUGUUACUCUAAUUGUUCUUUUUAUGCCUCACCUUUGAGGUGGAAGAGGUAGUAAGGUUAGAUUCCUAUCGAUGUAGUUCUCAUAGAUAGUGCCAACCAAAGAGUUAAGAGACUGCACGAGAGAUUAUAAAUAGACCAUUAGUGUGUUUAAGUUCUUCAUUUCAGUAGGAUGCACCCUUGUUUAUAUGAAUCAUAUGUUUGAACCUAUGGUAAUAUGUACUCUCAGGCCCUUUUGAACCUUGUCACUGAUGACAACUUUGAUCGAAAAAGUUUGUAUAUCAAUGCCUGGGUAGUAUUUUCACUUGAGAGAGAGUAGUUUGGGGUGUUGUAAGUCAUAAGCAGUAGAGUGAAAUCUAAAUCUAGAAAUAUGAAUUCAGAAGUUUAGCGGCCUAAAAGUGGAGAUGAUAAAUUGAUCGAAGUGUGUAGCUGAAGUCAUUUAUCCAUUAACUGAGUAAUGAGAUGAAAUGUCCUUAGGUGUUGGUCAAGGUGUAAAUUUGAUGGUUGCAAGUAGAGCAAGGAUUUUUGGAUAUGAUAACUUAGAAGUAUACUUGAACUAGGAAGCAAGUUAGGAUGACAUGCGAUGGCGUUAGUUAAGAUUAAGUUUAUGUUUUGAACAGGAGGAUAAAGUGGUCAAGAAUUGACAAAUUUAGGCUACCCCCUGUGUUUUAAAGAGAGUUCCCCACUUGUUGUUUUAGAUCUAUGAAUAUAGUUUAGACAGAUCAUUGAAUAAGUAGUAGAUGUGUACGAAAAAAAUACGCGGAUAGAUUGCAACUAGAUAGGUUGUGAGACUAGAUUAAAAAUUUACUAUGUUGUCAAGAGCCCUCAAUGACCUAGUGUUUCCUGAUUAUCUUUGGUAGCAAUAAUUCUAAGUAGUAUAAGUGGAUGAGUGUUGUUAUCUAUGUUUAGUACUAGACCGUAAAGCCUGACCUUAGAUGAUCGUUGUGGUAAGAAAAAGGGUAGCAUGAGGGUAAUAAUGUUUGUUAGGAUUUGAUACAGUGGGCUUGACAUAACGUAUGCGAGAAAUUAAGAUGUUAACUUAUGAAAAGUGUGAAAGUGUAAGUGUGAUAUAUGCGGGCUCUAGAUGAAUAAGUGAAUGAAGGCUAAAACAUUUGAUAAGGAAAUCUUAAGAAUUAUAAGGGAAGAUGUGUGUUCCAGAAGAGAUAUAUAUCGUAGAUGAGAUUCUUAGCUCCUAAGUGUGGUGUGUUCCUAGUUUAUUAUUCUUGAUAUUGUGUAAGGUGGAGAGAUUCCAGAUAUGAAUUAUAUGGUAAUCCUACGGCCUGAAUUAGGGGAUUAUAAAUAAGACAGUACAAUGUUGAGUCUCUUGGUAUAAGUUUUAAUUCUAUAAUAUUGGGUGGCUAGAAAUUUAGAGGUGUGAUAAUUGUAGACUAAUAAGAAAGACCAGCUUGUUAAGUUUUUAAGGAAGUGGGCAUGUAUACAAAUAGGACCAUAAAUUAUAGAAUGAUGGUCAUAGAGGCAAGUAAAAGUUUAGGGUAGUAUCUCAGAAAGUAUUCCUAGAAAAGAUUAUCUACAAAUAUAGUCUAAUAAAGAGAGUUUAGCAUUUAUGUAUAUAGUGAUAUCCCGACCAUGCAGAGUAAAGUAAUGAUAGCUCUGUUUAGAUAAUAAGUCCACAAACUUAGGAUGCUGAAUUUUAAGCCAAGAGGGAGAUGAUUGGGUGAGGAACCAAGGCAUGUCUUUGGAUACAAAUAGUAACGUAAUGAGUACAAAAAAAGAGCUAGAAUAAGAAAGUGACCCAUUCUUUAUCCUAAAAUAUCCCUUGUACUUCAGUCACUAUGACACUCUACUCUUGUCUCCAUGUUAGAAUCAUGCCCAUGAUCUAGGUUUAUGAACUUCAUACCGAUUCACGUUUAUGCUAAGUUACUAGAAUGAAAAUAAAAUGAGCUCAAUGAUCCCAGACUUACUUCAUGAAUCCACGAAUUCCAGUAUGCCUAGUCCUAUGAACUCACACUUUUUGAUAUGUUUCAAACUCAUGUUAUGUCAUUAUCUAUAUCCACAAUGAUUCUUCAGACAUGCUUUAUGUAUUUGAUAUAUGAAAUAUUCGGGCCUAUUAUGCAUUAUUCACAGGACAUAUCUUUAUUAGCAAGGUCAUGAUAAGUAUUAGUAGAGAUUGAGCAAUAUUCCUUAUAUUCCUGCUGUUCAUAUUCUAGUCCUUUGGUGGUAUUCUUUAUGACAUAAAGAUGGUGUGAUAUUAGUUGAGUAAUGGUUGGAUAGAAGUGACUAGAUGUUCCUUGUUACGAUGAUGGCAGUGUACCGAUUCAUCUAAGAUCAUAAGAAUAGAUGAAGUGCGAGAUGAAAAUUAGCUAUAUGUAAUAGUUGGAUGAAUUCAUAUGGGGUAUCCCCUAGUAGGAGUACAUGAAAUUACAGUUCAUAGAGGUUUUAGGGUAGACAGAGAAGAUUUUUCUUACUAAUUGGGAUGAAACCAUAAAGUUAUAGUGAUGAGCUUAGAUAUCAUGUCGAUACCCACAUGGCUAAAUACACUAUGAAAUUUAUGACUUCUUGAUUAGAGUUCGAGGAUGGAUGUUUGCAUGAUGAGAAAAAGUAAUGUGCCUGGGUAUAAUCGUAGAUGCAAGAGAUUCCUUGAUGAGUUUUAGAACUAAUCUAAGAGCAAGUGAACAAUCAAUAUGAAGGUUCUUAAAGGGAGUUAGAUUAUGGGAUCUUGAAAUUUAGACUAUAAUGGGUAUUUUAGCUAUGGUACCUCUGAGUAGGCUUGGACAGGGUAAGAAAGUGUUAGAAUCAGACUUCAGUACUUGUAUGUGCCCAAGUGAGGGUUGUAUUUUGGAAAUAAUAAAAUGUAAUGUUCAUGAAAAAAAAGAUAGUUUCAAAAGGUGUUGCUAAGAUCUAAUGCUACCAGUAUUAGAGGUGAAAAUACCCGCAUUCCUAUGUCUAAUGAACCCCUAUUUCAUAUUAUGUAACUUCAGAUCGAAUGGCACUUAUGUCCUAGUCUUCAUCAUGUCAUUCAUGCUCUGUAAGCCCUAUUUAGAUAACUAAGAUACCCCUAUAGCUCAUACCUAAACUUAUGUAUUACGUUGUUAUUUUCAUUUCCCGUGAAACUUAUGACCUAUGACAUGCCUAUGUUAAGUCUCGUGCAUUUCAUGACUCAUGACUGUAUGUUUCUUCCAUGGCUUGUUACGAAGCUCCACAUGUUAGGAAAGUUCAUGCCAUUAAGAAAUAGUUUAAGAGAGACUAGACUAUUUUGGUAUUCCCAUGUAAGGUACUCAUCCAAGACCAUCAUUCGAGGAUGAAUGAUCCUAAGGGGGAGAUAUUGUAACACCUUGAAUAUUCAAGCAAAGGAUAAAACAAAUAUGACCGUCUUCAUAUGUACUUGGACCUGAAUCUAGGAAUUUUAUUGGAUCUAGGUGUAAAAGUCAUGUCUUAAGUGUCGUAGAGACAUUGAGUAUGAAUUAAGGGCAAUUUUGUCUUUUCUUUUUUACCUUAUACCAACCGAUUAAAUUUCAUUUAAUUCCUUAGCUUCAGAUGUUAUUUUUAUAAAAAUAACACUUUAUUUCAACAGUUUAAAUUCCCACUUUAUUUCAAUAGUUUCACAUACUGUUUCCAUCAGUUUCUGCAUUACAAAAACCCUCUGUUUUCUCUAUUUUUCACGUUAAAGGUUCCCCUUUAUGUAUCAGUUUCACACACUAUUUCAUCAUCAAAAAAUCUCAAUUCUCCUCUCAAAUAUAACUCUCAAGAAUAUGAGGAAAUUCAUCCAAGAAAACAAGUCUAAUCCCUUUUUCAGGUCUCAAAUUCUUCAAAUAUUUUGAGGUAUGUAGAACCGUUCCUUCUUAUAUGUUUUAAGUUUUAUUAUUUCUCCCUAUUUAAAUUAAUCUCAAGUUAUGUUUAGAGUUGAGUGAAUCUUCAUCUUUAUCAAUUAAGUUAGUUUAUCAAUAUGAUUAUGAAACAAAAAUCUAAAAAAAAACCCAAGCAAAUUUCUGUGAAAAUCUAGAAAAUCACCAUAAUCCAUGAAUACUCUUCAUUUUUUUGAAACCUAUUAAAUCCUAUGAAUUAUUUUCAUAGUUGUAAAUUUUGAGUAUUUGAAACUAUUGGAAUCCAUGAACUUUGUAGUUAUUGGAUUGUUUGUUUUGUAGUCCUUAAUAUAGGAACUUGUUAACGGAUGGAUUGUUUGUUUUGUAGUCCUUAAGAUAAACUCCGCCGAUUUCUUGUAACCAAAGAAUACGACCUUUCUAUUGUUUUUCCAAGAUACCAACUGGAACUCCAAUUGUUAACAUGCAACAUAUGAGUCUCAACUAGACUCAUAACCAUUCCUUAAUUUAUUGAGUACUAUAAAAGCCAUGAUUUGAGAACAUAAUGGAAUGCAUUUUGAAAGCUUGAAUAUGAUAUUUCUUAAUUUUAUGUCCUCACCAAUAAAGGUACGAAUCCAUAAGUUAAUUGUUUCGUCAUAAAGAAAAAAACCAACGGGAGCUAUUUUCAACUUUAAAUAGGAAUUAUGACUUCUUGCAAUAAGGUUUCAAAUUUAUCCAUUAUGCUUGUAAGUUCAAUGAAAAAUCUUUGAUAUGAACCCCUUAAUAUAAUAUAUCCUCAUUUGCCCAGAAAGCUAUAAAAUGAUACCAAAUCAAAAUUUUAUGAACCCAAAGUGGUUGAAUUCCCAACAUGAGCCUAAGAGGCUAAAUUACGUACAUGAGCCUAAAAAGGAUAAACCACUAGCAUGAGAUUAGUAUGGCUAACACUUUGAACAUUAAUAAAUAAGUUAACUUCAUGAGCACAAGGGAGUUGGUUAGCUAACCGUGAAGGCAUAGGUUUAAAUGACAAAUGCCCAAAACUAUGUUUGCCGACAUAGGAUAGAGAUUAUUCCGCAAGUCAGAUGACUCCUUUUACAUGUGCCUGAAAAGGGGCUAACCAUGGAUACUUUCUAGCAAAUUAUGUCGUGUCACAUCUUAUGCCCGGCAAGGUAUAUGAUGUCUUACCUGAUCGGGAUGAGAUCAGACUCCAUGCGCUCACAUGGUGGUUUAUGACGGUUUACUACUUUCUCCCACAAAUAAUCAAAGGAAGUAAAUCUACUUUACUUGGUAAAUUAUAAAUUUAGUUUACAUUCUUGUUCUUUUCCAGUUUCCUUCACUUAUAUUUUAAUUUUAUUGUUACUUCUAAUCCCUUGAUGUACUACCCUCCUGAAAUAGUUUUACAUACCAAUACAUUCCAAGUAUUGAUCGUCUUUGGCACUAUAUCAUUUUAUGAUGUAGGUUCUGGAUCUCAAGUCUGCGGUCAAGUGACUUAUUAAGAUUAUCAUCUUUGCUAUUGGUGAGCCUCUUUUCUACCAGGAGGUUAGACGAGUUAUGAUGCCUUAUUUAUAUUUUAUUUUCUUUUAAUAUUGGUACUUAUUAGAGGCUUCACAGACUAGUUUAGUUGUCACAAAGAUCUUGCCAUUUUUCAUGACUAUUGUAUCAUAAGACGUUAUGUGGUAUUAAAGAAUAUUGAUGAAAGAAUCUCCUUUAAGAAAUAUUAUUUUAUAUUAUUUUCUCUCUAUUCAUUAUGUUAGGUGUAUGCUCAUGUGAUAUGCCAGAACGUUCGCUCAUACUAGCAAUAGUAUCGAGUGCAUGUCACGGCUUGGGCCUAGGCUUGGGGCGUGACAUAGACAUAUAUGUGGAUCAGUACUUUGAGGAUGUACUGAGUAUAUGAGGGUGAAUGCAUAAGUAAAACAUAAUAUCAUCACAAUUUAUAAAGUCAUGCAUGCUAAAUAUAAGUGACUCAUAUAAGCUGGAAUAUCUGAAAUCUGAAAUAAUACGAAGCAAAUCAUGCUUUAUAAACCUAGUGAGUCAUAACAUUUAGUUCUAAAAGCUGUGCUAGUAUUCUAUUUGUAAGUCAUACUGUCUAAGUGUAAAAGGACUCACUCUUAAAUCUGAAAACUAAAGUCUGUAGCUAAUAUCUUUAUGUAAAGAAUAAUCUGAGUAAACUUUGUGAGCCUUUACACUUAGUUUUCUAAAAGCUUCUCUUUACUAAUAGAGAAAUAGUCUAAAACAAAUUUAUGUAAGGUUAUCUUUAAAGCUUUAGGGAAUUAUCUUUUAAAAACCGUACGACAAGGAAAAUACCUUAUCUUUUAUCUGAAGGGAAAAUAUUAUUGAAAGCUUUUCUUUACUAUUAGGACUUAGAGACUUUGGGAGCUUUGGAAAUCUUUCUUUUUUUGAAAAUUUGGGACUUAGGAACUUGGACUUGGGAGUUUCUUCUAACCGACAUAAACCAUGUGAGCUGACAUGGAGUCCAACGUCUUACCAACGUUGGGGAGAGCUGUUCUACCCUUGCCAUCGGAAUAGAACCUUAACUUAAGUGAUCACUAUCUUAGCCCACUAUGGGCAAAUUUAGAAACCUACAGUGGAACGUUGUUCUGGGGCAUGAGACCUUGGAAUCAUACCCAACUUGGUGCUAAAUACUACUCCCAUACUUAUGCUUAGAACUUUAGAAAAUCUACCUUAUAACAACACAAGGUUUUAUAAUGAAAAUCAAUUAUGCUUAUCUUUUCUUUAAAUCACAAAGUGUAUGAAUAGUAUGGAUUCCUAUCUUAGCUUGGGAUCAAAACAUCAACUUUUUUUAAAUCUUGGGAAGAAAUUUGCUAAAGGAAAACUUAAGUUCAUAGCCUUCUUGAAAAACUCAAACUGAUUCUUGAUAUGGAUAUAACAAUUAAACAACUUUCAAGAACAUGAUAUUAAAAUCUCAAUACUUGAUCUUUGGGAUAAAAAAUUCAUGCUUUAAACUCAUGACAAUUCAUAACAACACUUUAUACUCAACAUCAUUCUUGAUAUAUUUUAACAAUAUCAAUCCAUAAAAAGGAAAGUGCAAUUCAUGAUAUAAAUUCUCAAUUCAAAGCAUAAAUAGGUGGGAUAAACAUGCAAAUUCAAGGUUUAAAUCACUUAUAAUCCCAUAGGUGGGAUAAACAUGCAAAUUCAAGGUUAAAAUCACUUAUAAUACCAUAACCUUAAUUAGCAUACAAAAUAGAUUUGGAUCUGCGUCAGUUUUUCAUGUCGAGGCGAAGUCAACGCGACUCGUCAAGAUCGCAUCGGCUAAUUGCUUCACAUGGAAAAUGCCCUAACUUUUUAUUCGAUUUUUGAAUUUUUGAAAAAUUGGUAUCAUUGGAAAGCUAAUUUAUUUAUAUAUAAUUUGGUGGGUCUUGAGAUGAAAAAUUCGACAUAUAUAAACAUUUAUAUACGUUUAAAGUAGACCCUUGUAGAAUCAAAUACCAAAUGUUGAACGAAUCAAAUGAUCUUAGCUCAACUUUGUUCUAAGUCAUUGCUAUGAAAAUUUUCACCUCUAAACCACUUCAUAGACUAUGAUAAUGAUUGUGAAACUUAUAUUCACAUGGAAAUCAAUUGGAUUAGAGCUUAGAUAUGUAGGAACGACAGUUAGAAUUCUAGCACGAAAAUAUUGGGUAUUACAUUAUAUCCCCCUUGAAAAUAUUCAUCCUCAAAUAUGGCUAAUUAAGCUUAAAAAACUGAGGAAUCUAAGGCUAUACGCUAUCACGCAUAACUGAAAUAAACUGAAUCGCUGAAUCUUGAACAUAAUAAGCUACUAAAUUGAUCUACGAGCGUAUGAAUUCUCAUAAAAAUAGCUAUAUGGCUAAGAUAGAAACGAGAGUGUCAACUUAUGAGUAACCAUUACUUUACACUGGAUAUGAUCUCAUGAGGAAAAAAAUGAGAGGUUUAUAACAUGAAAACUCUAGGUAUUACAAUAUGUUUCUGUGGUGUUUUUUUUUAGAAUAAGAGAUUUACUCCUCAUCAGUUCUGUGUUUUGGUCGAAUGUUUUGAUGGUCUAUUAAUAAAAUUCUCAUUUUCUUUAUAUUCCUUUCACUGGUAAGCACUUAAAGAUAUCUAUUUGUCACAGAGGGAACCGAUUGAGAUUUAUUAUUAAUGUAAGGUCCUCCAACAUGUUGCAACAUUUCUAUACUAUAGUAAAUAAAAGUAAUAUCAUAUCUCACACUCUCUUUUAAUGAACAUCACAUUAGAUUAGAAAGAGUCAUAUCCCUUCUACUAGAAUUCUUUCAUGCAUAUGCAUGAUUCCAUGCCAAAGUUACUAGGGUGUGAUAUGUCAUACUCACUGUGAUCUCUAUAUUAAAAGUUCAAAACCAGUUAGACACAGUUACAUGUUAUAAGUUCAUUAAUCUUUUAGCUAAGUUUUCUUUUACGCUUGAGUAUCGAAGUAGUGACUUUGGAAAGCUUUGAAUUUUCUUAACAUUUUUUGUUAUUAAAAUAAUUUAUUUUUAUGAAUGCAUAUUAAUUCACAUAUCUUUUC
This 44631-nucleotide long non-coding RNA is filed under the name Capsicum annuum. RNAcentral describes it as "long non-coding RNA (CANN_LNC009345)". Lineage: Eukaryota; Viridiplantae; Streptophyta; Magnoliopsida; Solanales; Solanaceae. The record is from RNAcentral.